GUAUAGCUAUAUAUGAAAACAAAACAUAUCUUGAGGACGCCCUUUGCUUUUGUUUUGUCGUAUUGAACUAAAUAACAUUCACUUUAAGCAGAGGGUGCAAUAAGUACUUGUUUCCAAAUACAAAAGAAGAAGAAAACAAUCCUUAAUAUGUAUAGGGGAAGAUAAUUAGACAAGCAGGUUAGGGCCCGUCAAAGUGUCGAGCCAAGCCAAAAUAUAAGCAUCCACGUAAAUACAUGUGGGAGGUAUAUAUAUAUAUUAAUAGAGACCUAAAAAUUAAGUCUGCAUCCACGUAAAUACCUCCACACAAUUAACAGCUCCUCAAUUUGUUGGAAUGUUCCACGCCUCGCAAAAAGCACGAGCACUGACGAAGAAAAUAGUAAAGUGAAUUAGAUUCUUGAAACUAGCAUGACAAUAAUAAGAGUGAAAUAUAGAUGUCAAGGCAUAAUAACCUUCUUAACUGAUACAUAAGAUAUUGACAUAUAAUUAAAUGUGCAUUUCUUAAGCACAACGAAAACAAUUGCAUCAAUCACAAGCUGCAAAACAUAAGUCGAUAUCAAACCAAAAACUUAUCAAAAAUCUCUGUCCUCCUACACACGAAUACUGAAUUCCAUAAAAGCAACAGUCAUGUCUUCCGUAUUGAAAGAUACAACUCCUAGAUUCGUCCGCCAGUAGAGAAAUUAUAACACCUUUUUCAUGUAAUGUUGAAAGGAGAUGAAUUUAAUUCAGGAAUUGGCGCGAGGAAGCCUUCGUAUGAUAGUUAAGCUUAGGUGCCAUUAUAAAAAGUUAUGCAAAAUGAACUUUAANNNNNNNNNNNNNNNNNNNNNNNNNNNNNNNNNNNNNNNNNNNNNNNNNNNNNNNNNNNNNNNNNNNNNNNNNNNNNNNNNNNNNNNNNNNNNNNNNNNNNNNNNNNNNNNNNNNNNNNNNNNNNNNNNNNNNNNNNNNNNNNNNNNNNNNNNNNNNNNNNNNNNNNNNNNNNNNNNNNNNNNNNNNNNNNNNNNNNNNNNNNNNNNNNNNNNNNNNNNNNNNNNNNNNNNNNNNNNNNNNNNNNNNNNNNNNNNNNNNNNNNNNNNNNNNNNNNNNNNNNNNNNNNNNNNNNNNNNNNNNNNNNNNNNNNNNNNNNNNNNNNNNNNNNNNNNNNNNNNNNNNNNNNNNNNNNNNNNNNNNNNNNNNNNNNNNNNNNNNNNNNNNNNNNNNNNNNNNNNNNNNNNNNNNNNNNNNNNNNNNNNNNNNNNNNNNNNNNNNNNNNNNNNNNNNNNNNNNNNNNNNNNNNNNNNNNNNNNNNNNNNNNNNNNNNNNNNNNNNNNNNNNNNNNNNNNNNNNNNNNNNNNNNNNNNNNNNNNNNNNNNNNNNNNNNNNNNNNNNNNNNNNNNNNNNNNNNNNNNNNNNNNNNNNNNNNNNNNNNNNNNNNNNNNNNNNNNNNNNNNNNNNNNNNNNNNNNNNNNNNNNNNNNNNNNNNNNNNNNNNNNNNNNNNNNNNNNNNNNNNNNNNNNNNNNNNNNNNNNNNNNNNNNNNNNNNNNNNNNNGACGGAGCCAGAGACCGACGACGGCGACGGAGACCGGCGACGGAGACCGGCGACGGAGACCGGCGACGAAGCCGGAGACCGGCGACGGAGGUCGACGCCGGGGACCGGUGGUCGGGUCGGGUCGGCGCCGAAGGCCGUGGACCGAGAUAGAGAGUCUAGUGAGAGAGAGAGUCUAGUGAGAGAGAGAGCCGUUAGAGAGAGAGCCGUUCCAUAAUGAUAUGUUAUAAAUCUUUAAAAUUUUAAAAUUAGAAUAUAAUAAUGGAAAAAGUAAUAUCUUACUUCUUUUCAUAACACUUUAAUAAUCCUUCGACAAUCCAUUCACAGUACUGUUCGAUUAGUCCGAUCGGCCCAUCUUCGGAUAUAAAAUAAUCAUUAAAUGGAUGCUUACGAGGAAAAUCAAUUGUUGCAGAUUUUUUGCCUUUACAACUGGAAUCAAAUUUAGUUGUAAAUGGUGACAUGAAUAUUUUAGUUCGCUUUCUGCUCCUUAGUGCAGGUGUUUUUAUGCCAUCCUGUUUACCCAAAUUGGCUUCAGGAAGAACUGAUGGUAAUCAACUAUCAUGGAUGUGACAUUUACUGUCAUUGAUUUCUUUGGGACUAAUAGACUUGUUUUGCAUGCCAACGACUGGUGUGAAAAUUCUAGCUAUAAUGUUAUUUAUCGCUUCCUGAAACACAUCAAUUGAAAUCUCAUUGGUAGACUCUAGAAAAGGUAAAAUUAAUAGAUAUGACUAUUAAAAUUAUAAAAUUAAUUUUCUGUAAGGGAACCAUAUGAUAUAUAAAGUGUAAUGUAUCGUUUAUAUUAUAUCUUUGUGUCCGAAUUUAAAAGAAAGAAUCCAUAUGAUUUAAGAAAACUGUUACGCAUCAUAAAAAGUAAGAAAGGUCUAAUACAUUUCAUACAACAUAAUACUUGGUGUAUACAAAAUAGCAAGUAAAUUAUAUAACAUGCAUAACCUUCUUUUACACAAAGAUAUUCCUAAUUAAUAACAUAUAUAAUUCACACCUCAAAUGUUAUUUGUACCUGCGGUUUAUUUUGAACUUCAACGUUGUCUGUUUGUAAGGAUGGAUCUGGAAGAUUUACUUUCUACUUGAGUUCAGCAGAAUUUAUUGGCAUUGCAACGUAUGGUGUGGAAAUGCCAACUAUGAUAUUAUCUAUCGAUUCCUGAAACACAUCAGACGAAAUCUCAAUACUGGACACUUGAAAAAAAAAUUGUUAGAUACAGCUACCAACAGUUAUAACAUUAAUUGGAUGAAAGAGAUUCCAUAUGAAAUAUAUAUUGUAAUGCAUUUUUUAAAUUAUUUUUGUGUCGUGAUUUAACAAAAAAAAAUUCAUGUAAUGAAAAAAAUUAGUAUGUAUCAUAAAUAAAUAUAAUAAGUCUGAUACAAUAUAUAAAGUCAGAGAACUUUGUUUAUAUAAUGUAUCAGAUAAAUUAUUUGUCAUGCAUAACCUCUUUUAGGAAAGGAUAUUCCUAAUUAACAUAUAAUCUACAACUGUGUGUCAUAUGUACCUACGGUUUAUUUCGAACUUCAAUAUUGUCCGUUUGUAAAAAUAGAUCAGGGAGAUUUUCUUUCUGUAAAAGCUCAACAGACUGUAUUGCAAUAACUGAUAAGAAAAUUUUAGCUAUGGUGUUAUCUAUGAAUUGCUGAAACGCAACAGACUUAAUAUCAGUGCUAGUCCCCUGGAAUAUGAAAAUGAUUAGAUACAACGGACCAAAGAUUUUAAAAUUAGUAAAAGAACCUGUAAGACUUAUAUAGCGUAAAAUGAUAACAUUUUUGAGAAACAUUUGAUAGAUAUAUCAAUCUUUUUGCAUUGAAUGUGUCAGUUGUACUAUAUAUCAUGCAAAAUCUAAUUAACAUAAUGAUUUUCUCCAUUAAUAACAUACACUUGAUAAGAUAAUUUUUUAUCAGUACCUUCUGUAUAUUUUGAACUUCAAUUGUCUCCCUCGGUAUAACUGGAUCAUUAAAAUUGAAUUCAGAUAAGACUCAACAAAAGUUUUUCAUCCAUCUUGUGAUCUCCAGUAGAUACAACAUUUCCAUCAUCAUUCUGGAACAUAAAAUUGCAUUACAUUAUAAAAAUAAUAUACGAUACACAUUUUUAACAUUUCUACUAGUUUACCUUGUCAGGUAUAUCCUUCGAUUGUUCUUUCGGAGUUUUCAAUUCAUCACCAUCUGUCUCAUUCUUUUUCACAUCUCUGUUAGAACCGACGAUGUCAAUAACAACCUAAAAAACAUAUAAUUUUUAAUAAGAUAAAUAUAUAUAAAAUUUACUAAAAUUUAAGGUGAUUAUAUUAAAAAAUACUAUUUGAGGAGCAUCAUGCUUCUCUUUCACAGCUGACAUCAUCUUUUCAUGUUGUUUUUUCAUUUCUUCAUGAUGUUUUUUCAUUAAUGCUUCAAUACGAUCAAAUCUUUUGUCAACCUGCAUAAGUUUAACAAAGUAAAUUAGAUAUGUCAAGAUAGUCAAUUUUAAAAAUAAAAAUUCAUGUUGCACUUACAUAUGUCUUGACAAAUGAUUCAAUUGCAUUCAUAUCAACUUUAAGCAAAACUUGCUCAUGAUUUGUUCCUCCAGACACACUAAUUUUCUGUGUAAACUCACGCAUAUGUGUGAUAGCUGGUGGUGUCUGUUCUGCUGGUGGUGUCGGUUCGUCGAAGUCCAUCAGAGAUGGUUCAUGUCGAGCUUCUUCAUUGAUUGGGCCAGCAAUUGAUUUUGAUAUGCCAGAAGGUGAUACACUAACUUCUUUAACAGAAGAGUGAGCUUUAAUCUUUUCUUGAUCUAUCAUCAAUUUUUUUUUCUCAACAUCUGUCUUUCUUUUUUUUUUAAGGCGGUGCCAAUGAUCUAUCAGACCUAGCCUUUAACUUAGUUACCAUUUCGAUCGGUGGUGGGGUAGUAAAAUCAUCAAAAUCGUUCGAAGGUAAUGAAUCAGCUGUCAAUAUUGUUUUAUGAUCAACUUUUUGCUAAUGUCUACAAGAUGUGGAUGGUAAAGUGAAUUGACAGAAUCUUUCAAAUUCAUACCAGCAUGAUUUGGCAAUUAAAGACAGUUCAGCUCAUCAACCGCAGAACUUAUGUUGGUAUAAAUAUACUAUAAUUAAGAUUAAAAAACAUAAUAACUUCAGUUUCAUGAAUAUAAGAGAAAUAAUGUAUCAAUAUUCUACAUAACAUCUAGUAAUAUAUCAUAAACUGUACAGUUACGUAUCAGAAUGUAUCAUACGAGUACUGUAAUGAAUCAUAUAACAGUGAAAAAAAUUAUUUUGAUGCAAGAAUUGAUAUAGAAGAUGUCUGAUCAACAAAUAUAUUACAGUAUGAAUGAGUUACAUGCUUCAACAUAUAUUUACUAGAAGAUAUAUAAUGGAAACAUAAAUUUUUUUUUAUGUAUGCAACAUAAAAUACAAAAGACUAUUGAAAAUAACUAGAAAUUACCUUGUUAAACAUUCCAUUCAUGAACUUUUCGAAUUUAGGCUUUGUUCAAACAACAAAUUCGUUACAUAUCCUCGAGAUACGGUUAACAAUACGGCAAGCAAUGUCUUUAUCUACUUCAGAACAACAUUCGUAGAUCCAGACGUUGAGAACAUGUGGCAUUCCUCCUAAACGAUAAAGCUAUUUUUCAAUGAAGAAGUCCUGUCUCAACGAGUUCAUCAACUUGUUGAAAGUAAUCUUUUCCCACGGAUAAUGUUCAUAUUGACCAUCCUCUACCAUCUUGAAUUCUAAAAAUCUAACAGUUACAUCAUCAGAUUCAGUUAACAAAUACGUAUGAAUGAAAAAUAAUAUGGCCAUCUGCAAUGCAUCCUGAAUAUUGUCAAAAAAUUUCAUCUUAUACCGUUCAAUCAUUUUUUUUCGAAGAUUUUUAUUUUGUCUCUGAAAAAUACUUUGUCAAUAACACAGAGCCAUCUGAAGUCGGAUACUCAAACUCCUCAAUGUUUGCGGUGUAAUUCAAACCACAAAUGAGAGCAAAUUCAAAUAUAAAAAAAUUCAGAACUGUUCCCUUGACAUAUACAUGGAAUUCACUUGGGUUAUCUUGUUUAAACUCAAGCAUCAACAAGCAUUUGAUUAUUUGACCUUGAACAUUUGAUUUGGGAAUAUCAACAAACACACCAAAAUAUGUCUCCUUAAAUAUAUUGAGCACUUUUUUACCCACAAAGUGCUCAACAUCGAUUGCAAAGUUACGGUUGCAUGGAAUACCAAACCUCAGUGGAUGAUGUGGAAUAGUUUUGAUCACACAGUGAUGUGUCAUAACGCACGCACUGAGCUUAUGUACAUUGUUAUGUAUCGGAUUAAAGAUUAGCUUUAACAAUUGUUACAUAUUGUAUUAUGAUACAUAACUUAACGUAUGUAUAUUAGACAUCACACAUUAACCUUAUGUACAUGGUUAUUUAUCAGAUUAAAGAUUAGCUUUAACAAUUAUUACAUAUUGUAUUAUGAUACAUAAUUAUAACGUAUGUAUCAGACAUCAUGAUAUAAUUCUUACUCAUGUAUCAUACUUAAAAUUUUUUUGAUGUAUCAUAAGGCAUGCACAGACAGUAUCCCCAUGAUUAUGUAACAGACUAAUGGUUAACAUUAACAUUUGUUAAAUUUUAUAUUAUGAUAAAUAACAAUAACUUGUUUUGGAAAAAUUCAUCUAUCAAAUACAUAAAUAACAUACCUUUGGUAAUGAGUCUCUUUUCACAACUUUCUUUCUUCUUCCCUUUAAAAUAGCAGUAGCAAGCUUCUUCCCUUUAGCACUAGCAACAUCCCGUAACUUCUUCAUGACUGUAGGAUCGUUCCGAUACUUAAAUCUAUUUUUACAAAAAUCAACGUCUUUAUAAUCGAAGUUAUCAGGAACAAACUCAGGUAUAUCAAUUUCAUUAAAAGUUGACUAAAAUUGAGUAAGCCCCAAACUAAAAGAGGGUCCUCACUCCAUUAAUGUUGUUAUAAUGUUUAAAGAACAUAAAAUUGAAAAUGCAUUUCUUCAAUUUCUAAACUAAUAAACAAAAUCAUCAAUUGGAAACAAACUAACCUACAAUUAAGUUUGAAUAAUUAAGUUAAUGGAGUAAUUGUAGUGGAGGAUAACGGUUGCUGCUUCAAGAUCAGAUUUUUGCAUAACCUUCGCCACUAUUACCGUGAUUUUAGGCUACAAAACAGUAGUUGGGUAUUGUGUUGAGCUGUAGGUGGUAAUGUAUCAGUUUAACCGCGUGUGUUUACUAUAAGAAGGGAUUAUUGUAAUAUGUUUAAUAGGAUGGUAUUUAAAGUAAUAAAGAAAAGUUAAGGUGUUGAGUUAUGUAAUUUUUUCUAUAAAUAAUAUACGUACAUACGACUUAUUUGUUUUCAUUAACUUCAGUAAUUAAAAAAAUCAUAAGUGUUCAGACGAAUUAUUAAUUAUUUUAACUUAUAAUAUUUUUAAAAUAUAUAAAUUUUAUUUUUUAAAAGAUGAAAUUUAAUUAUAUCCUAAUUCGCACCAAACUUUAGUUAGUUUAAGUUGUAAAUAGGUUAAGAUAAAAGGAGCAAUCACAUAUAAUUGAAUGCAUGAUCUGUUGUUUGUGUUUUCAGGAGGAAAAUGAUUAUCUUUUUUUGGGGGGUUUUCAUCCGGUAUUCUGUACCUAUAUUGGAGCUCGACUAAUUCGGAUUCGCACUGCGUAAGGCUCAUUCAGGGGAAACGCUCUCUACCAAAGAUUUUUUCAUACUCAGGACUCGAACACGAAACCUCUGGUUAAGGGGGGAGCAGCCUCAUCCAUUGCACCACAUCCUUUGGUGGUAAAUGAUGACCAUCUAUAUGUAUAAUGGACUAUAUUAUUAAUUUGUUCCUUUAAAUUUUUUCUAUCAGAUCAGAUAUAUCUCAUUUUCUAUGUUUUAUUAAAUUUUAGCCAUAUUAAAUAUUCUUAAUUAAAAAAUUUAAUUCGCCAUUGAAUUGAUAUAACUCACGCUUUAGUGUUUAUGGAAGUGGUGACUCCUGGAAGAAUUUCAUGCAGACAUAUAACAACCUUGGUAGACAGUCUUCGACGGUCCUUUUGUCUUUAAUUGACUUCCCUGUUUUUUUUAAUUAUUAUUAUAAUAAUAGUUAUAAUAAUAAUAAUAAUAAUAAUAAUAAUAAUAAUAAUAAUAAUAAUAAUAAUAAUAAUAAUAAUAAUAAUAAUAAUAAUAAUAAUAAUAAUAAUAAUAAUAAUAAUAAUAAUAAUAAUAAUAAUAAUAAUAAUAAUAAUAAUAAUAAUAAUAAUAAUAAUAAUAAUAAUAAUAAUAAUAAUAAUACAAAACAGAAAAAUAAAUAAUAAAUAAAUAAAUAAAAAGAAGAAACUAUUGUUUACAACAUAAUUUAAAUUCAUGGAAAAUAAAUUUUAACCACAAACAAAAAUACGAAGAAACAAGAUUUUUUUUAUUGAUAAACAAUUGUGGUUACAAAUCUGUUCCUCCCUUGAUUCUGCUCUCUUGAUUUUCUCCGUAAUUCGAGGACCAUUAGUGGCUUAUUCUCGAAUAUAGUAUGAUCUUUUUAUGAAUAUUCCAUAAUUUUUAUUGGACGGAGGGUUUAUCUUCUUGAUGUAUUUGAUUAUCAAACAGAGAGAGUUUUGAUUUUUAUGAAUAUCCCGUGAAUUUAUGGGAUACUGGAGAUGCCUCUUUAAAGGGAUAUUUGCCCCUUUUAUAUAGGCGUAAUUUAGGAUUUACUAGAUUUAGGUAAAGUAGCCCCCAAGAACUCUAACCAAAAUUAAACUCUUUUUGUAGAGUCACAAAAUUUCAAUGUCUACAAAUGCCCUCUACUUCGAGGCUUGUCGAAGUGUAGAUUUGAUGACGAAUCUUGAAGUACCAAUAGAGCUUCUAUCUUUAUGGGGUGGCUACAGAUUUACAGAUCUGAUUUAUGAGAGAAGAGAUGAAGGGCAGAUUUGGUCCCACUGGGUGUGCCAAUUUAUUUGCAACAUAAUUUAAAUUCAUGAAAAAUAAAUUUUAACCACAAACAAAAAUAUGAAGAAACAAGAAUUUUAUAUUGAUAAACGAUUGUGGUUACAAAUCUGUUCCUCCCCUGAUUCUUCUCUCUUGAUUUUCUCCGUAAUUCGAGGGUCUUUAGUGGCUUAUUCUCGAAUAUAGGAUGAUUUUUUUAUGAAUAUCCCAUGAUUUUUUGUGGGAUAUUGGAGAUCCCGAUCUUUUUACGAAUACCCAUCAGCUUAUGGGAUAUUCAAGAUGCCUGUUUCGGGAACAUGUUCCCCUUUAAAUAGGCGAGAUUUAGGGUAAAGUAGCCUUCUAAAACUCUAACAGAAUUUGAAUUCAUAUUGAAGAGUCCACAAAUUUUAAAUGUCUACAAAUGUCCCCUGCUUCAAGGCUUGUUGGAGUGUAGACGAUGAAACUCAAAGACGAGUCUUGAAGUAUCACUUCCAUCUUUACAAUGGAAGAUGGCUACAGAUUUGCAUAUUUGAUUUAUGAGAGAAGAGAUGAAGGGCAGAUUUGGUCCCACUGGGCGUGUCAAUUUGUUUCCAACAUAAUUUAAUUUAUGGAAAAUAAACUUUAACCACAAAUAAAAAUAUGAAAAAACAACAACUUUAUUGAUAAACGAUGGGGGUACAAAUCUGUUCCUCCCUUGAUUCUUCUUUCUUGAUUUUCUCCGUAAUUCGAGGGCCGUUAGUGGCUUAUUCUCGAAUAUAGGAUGAUCUUUUAUGAACAUCCCAUGAUUUUUAUUGGAUGGAAGGUUUGUCUUCUUGAUGUAUUUGAUUAUCAAACAGAGAGGGUUUUGAUCUUUAUGAAUAUCCCGUGAAUUUAUGGGAUACUCUGGGAUGCCUUUUUAAAGAAUAUUUGCCCCCUUUAUAUAUGCGUAAUUAGGAUUUACUAGAUUUAGGUAAAGUAACCCCAAAAACUCUAACCAAAAUUAAACUCUUUUUAUAGAGUCACAAAAUUUCAAUGUCUACAACAAUGUCAACUAGCAAUGAAAAUUAAUACAACUACUAUAUUUUUAAAAUUAGGAACGUUAGUUAAUUUAUUUGUCUUGAUUUGAAAUACGAGCUCCAAAAUUAACUAAUAUUAGUAAUUAGGUGACUUCCAACGUAGAACCUUUAUAUAUUUUGAAUUAAAGUUUAUAUAUUGAGAAACUACAUAAAAAGUACCAUACGUCACAAUAAUUAAUAUUUAAAAAAUAUUAAAAAAAAUAUCACCAAAGAAGAACAUUUUUUCCUAUAAAGAAGGCCAUUGCCCAUUGUAAUCUAAAUGGGUGAAAAUCAUUUAUACCCCCAACUUUGAUUAAAAAGUUAAACUCUCCCCUCAAUAUUAAAUAAUAAUCAUACUCUCCUCUUUAUUUCAUGCAAUGCCCAUUUUAUCCCUAUAAUUUUAAUCCUAUAUUUAUGUAAUAUCUUUUUAUAUUAUAUGUAAUGAAUAUUUUCUUUAACAUGGAUAUUUGUAGCAUUUUAUUUAAGUUUAUUAACUUUAUAAGUAAAUUAAUACUUUAUAUAAAUUUAUCACAAAAUUCAAUGUUAUUUUUUAAGAUCGUUAUUUUAGUAUUAUAUGCAUUAAAGAGUCGUUUGGUGUGAGGUAUAAUUAUAAUAAUUCAGAGAUAAAGUUUAUGAUUAUUUAUCCUGCGUUUAAUUAGAUGUAUUAGGUAGUCUCAAAAUUAUUUGUCGCACCAUUUAUACAACAGUGACGAGAUAAGUUAUCACACAUACAUGUUAGUACAACUUAUUUUUUAUAACUAAUCCCGAAAUAACUUGUUUCCAAAUAACUCACCCCUAGGUGUGUGUAUAUACAUGCAUGUGCAUAUAUUUUUAUUUUUUAUCACUCUCUUACUAAAUUUGUUUCAUAUUACUUAACUUUUUGUUGAUGUAACACAAUCCUUAAGAAAAUUUUACUUAGAGGUAUAUUUUGCUAAAUUAACCUUAUUAAUGAUAAUUUAAAACUUUAAAUUUAUCUAUACUGUUACUUUAUAUAGUUAUUUAACACUAAAGGGUAGAAAAAAAACAUAAUACAAUUCUCUUGACUUCACAAAUUGAGCAUAUAAAUUAAAACAUCUAUUUUUAGUAUGGGAAUCAAGUGAUAAGAAAGGAUAUUAUCUAUUGUCUAUAUCAGUAAAUAAGUUGUGAUUGUCAUUAAUAGAGUAUUACAUAUUUUAUAAUUUAUAUAAAUAAAUAUAAUAUUUAAAAUUUGACCUUAUUUUUAUUCAAGAAAAACAUCUAGUACCCCCGAAUUAUGACCAAAUUUACUACGAUACACGUCAACUUCACGGGGGUCCUAUUACCCCUUAAAUUAAAUUUUAGCCCAUUUUUGUCAAUCUUUUUAGCUAAUGUAAUACCUUUUGUCAAUCAUUUUAGAUGGCGUGAUACCUUUGAUGUGAGCUUCAUUUUAUGUAAUAAAGGUGCCACAUUAGCAUAAAAAAUAACAAAAGUACGCUAAAUUUGAGUUCAGGAGACCCCUGUGAAGUUGAAGUAUGUCGUAACAACUUUGACCAUAGUUCGGGGUGAUACUAGAGGCUUAUCGCUUUCAUUUAUUGUUUGUAUUUUUUAUAUUGAAAUAUGUUUAUAAAAUUAGUAUUACUUAUUAUUUUCACUUGUAAAAUAAAUAUUAUAGUUUUGGUUAUUAUUAAUAAAAUUAAUUUUAUUACCAUGUUAAUUUACUUCAUAAAGAUCAUCAUUAACUUAUAUACUUAAUUAGUAUUUCUUAAUUUUUUUCCUAGAAGAUAAUGUUUAUGUUUUUAUGAAAAUUUUGUUAUAUGAAUUUUUUUUAAAUGAAAAUAUGAUGAUUUUAAAGAUGUUAAAAAAAAAAUUGAUGAUAAAGAAUAAAAUAAAAAUUUUAAAAAGUCAACUAAGAUAAAGGAAGAAUAUGAUUAUUGUUGAUUUUUAAGAUAAAGUUGGGGAAGAAAAAUAAUUUUGACCGCAUCUAUAUUGUCCACUAAAUUCAUAUUCUUUGAACCUUGUUUUUUUGGAGAACGAAACAAGCUAAGUUUUGUAACUAAUUAAUACAGCUAGCGUUCUCACAAGUCACAUCCAGAUAUAUAAAAAGGGAAAAAGACACGUAAAGUGAGACGAUUGGGUUUACGUAUGAAAUUUUGCUUUUUGGUUGUAGGAAAUAAUUGAAUUAGUAAUUGUUUUUCUAUAUAUAUAUUUUUGCUAUUUUUUUAAGGAAUCAAUGUUGACCCAAAUAUAUGUUGUUCAUUCAUUCCACAUUGUCCCCCUGAAUUCAUGCAUACAUGUGCUUGCCUGAAUUUAUGCUUUAUCAAAAUAUGUGGUCUGAUCAAAUUCUUUUCAACAUUCAUUCUUAUAUUAAAAGAAAUAUAUCUCAUAAAUAGAGGUAAUUUAUUGUAUUAUAUUUGUAUUGAAUAUUUUUUAAAUAAAUGAUAAAUGAGUUAAAAUAACACUUAUUUUGAGAUGAUGGGAAUUAUGCUCAACAUGCUUUAGAUUUUUAUUAGACUAUAGCUUUAAGCUAGGUUGUUUUUGUACUCCCUCUACUAAUGAAUGCGUGUAAACGUGCACAAUUUCUUUUUUUUCUCAAAGUGUAAGUCAAAAGUAUCUAAUAUACUUAAUCUCGUGUUCAGAUGAUCAACUGAAAUAUAUCAUCAUUUAAAUAUUUUAAAAUAAAUCUAUUGAUAAAUUUAAGAAAUUAUUGAUGGAAUCGGAGCCAUUUUGAAUUGUUUUUUGACUUAAAAUUAAGUGUUUUUAAGUAUUUUUUUAUUUAUUCAAUAACAACAAUAAUAUAUUUAGUGUAUUUUCAUAAAAUGGGAUCUAAGAAGAAUAAAAUGUAUGCAAUUCAUACCACUACCUCAACUGCAAUAGAGAGGCUAUUUCCGAUAGACUACUGAUUUAUGAGAAAUUAAAAAUUGCAAUAAGUCAAUCCAAACAGACUUUCAACCUAAAUCAAAACUGAGGGAGAUACAUAAAAUAUAUUGAUUUUGCCAAAAGGUUUAAAUUAUUUUUUGUAGUAGAACAGAGGGCCAUGAGAAAAAAUAGUACUAAGAACUUGGUCACGACAUUUUCUUUUUUCCUAUUUUGGAAAGUACGGUGAGCUGGAGCUUGACUGACGCAGAUACAAGUAUUGUGAAAGUUAUCAACUAAUAUUAAAUGAUGAAGAAAGUAGCAUCAUAAAAUAGCAGACACAAUUUCUAUAUAUUUUUUUAUUUUAAUUUAUUUGUCCCAUUUUAAUUGAACAUGAAUUAUAAAGAUUUUAAAAGAUUUAUAAGUUUAGUAAAAUUUUCAACUUAUGAUAUGAAAAUGGUAUUUUCAACUGUGGCAAAAAAAUUAGAUUAUUUAUUUUUGUUGAUUUUAGCUUUGAUGAACAGAAUUACGUGAUGUCUAUUACUAGUAGAAGGUUGAAUAUAUCAUGUAAAAUAAGCGUAAGCUAAUUCAGAUAUCACGAUUAUUAAGAAUGAAAAAAGGAAUUUAUUUUUGAAACUCAUUAAACGAAACAAAUUGAAAGAAAGAUAUUUGUUCUUGCUCAAACCCGGAGUUAUUUUCAUUUCCUUAUUUGAAAUUCGAAAUUUGUCCAAUGGUAGGUUUGGUAAUUAUCCGGAACAUGAGGGAUAAUUGUUGGUAAUAAAUUAGGACAGACCAAUAAAUAGUUCAACGUUGUCUUCAUGAGAAGAAAAUGUUGCCUGUUAUGAUCCCGUUACAGUGGGCCAUUACAAUAACCAUGAAUUCGGGGAAUUAUAGCCUACACCUGAUGACCACCACAAUAACCUACUCAGCCAAUCAGAAGUCCAUAAAUUUAUUCCCAUAAUUUACACAAUAUAUUUAGGCCUUUCUAAACACACACUUUUAUAUAAAUAGUAGAAGGAUUUUCGUUUGUUGUUAAAUUAUUUAUGUUGAAUAUUUGGAAUGGAGCUAAUUAAUAUAAACAAAUAGCUAAUUUUCAUCACAUUUUAAUUAACUUAAGCCUUGAGACUUAUUAUUAUCGGAGUAUCUUAUAUCUUGAAUUUUGUGUUGUUUCUACAUACAAGUGUCAUAUAGUUAGUUCACAAAUUUAUGUUGAAGUCAUAAUGCAAUGACUGAAUACUAGCCCUUGUAUUUUAAAAAUAAGAAAACUGUAUAUAAUUGAGUUGGAUGAAUUUAGAUACUUAGUCUUUUUCAAUCUCAAAUUUAAUGUUCAUAAUAACCACUUUUUUAGGAUUUUUUUUUGUCAUUUUACUUAUUUAUCAUAUUUUAAUUAAUCAUCAAAUGUGAUAUAAAAUUAGGGGAUCUUUAAAAAAUAGCUACACUUUACUGUAAAAUACAUCUUUUAUACCCAUAUUUUACAUAAUUAUUAUUUAUAGCCACUGUAUUCAAUUUACGUCCGUUGUAUUCUGUUUUAUCAAUAGUCUAUAUUCAUAUAAAAUAUAAAUACAAUAUGUAUUUGUAUAAAAAUUUGAAUUGUAUUUAUUUGUAUCAAUAAAUACAAACAAGUAUUUGUAGAAAGAAAAUCAAUCAUUCCUUUCCAAUAAUUAAAAAAUACAAAUGACAGUUCACACAAAUAUUUGUAUGUAUAGUUCACAUUUAUAUUUAUUUUUUUAUAGUUUGCACUUGUAUUUGUAUGUUAUAGUUUCAAUUUGUAUUUAUAUUUUAUAGUUCACACUUUUAUUUGUGUUUAUUAGUUUGCACAAAUAAAAAGGAGAAAAAUAGAAAAGGAAAAAAUAAUAAAAAAAGAAGAAGAAAAAAAGAAGAAAAAAAUACAAAAAAGAAGGAGAGUAAUAGAUAAUAGAGAAAAAAUAAAAAAGAAGGAGAAAAAAUAAAAAGGAAAAAAAGAAAAAAAUGGAAAAAAAGAAAACGAAAAAGAAAAAAGAAAGAGAAAACAAAAAAAAAAAUAAAGAAAAAAACUGAAAAAUGAAUAAGGAAAAAAAGAAGAGAAUGAUAGAAAAUAGAAAAAGAGAGAAAAUAUAUGAGAGAGAUUAUGAAUUAUAACUAAGAAUAAUUAAUAGAUAAAAGAGGGUUAUAUUUGUUAAGUUAUAUAGUUAUUCCAUGAAGUCAUGUUAAGAUUUUAUUUUCAGAACUUUUCAUGUUAAUGGUUUCAAUUUGGGGUAUCACGAGACUGAAAAUUAUUACGUUAAUGGCCCCAAUCAAGAUUGAGAGACCAGAGGACUCAAAAUCCUCAUCUUAACGGUUUUGAGGACUGAGUGAUAAGGCUUAUUAGGAAAAAACACACACUAACAAAUGAAAUAUAUAAAUUAUGAAAAUAUGUGAUGUAUUGAAUAAGAUUAUUUUUUUCUUAACUAGAGGUUUUAUUUUUGAGAUUUGUGUAUAAAAAAUUUUGGUAGGAAAUGACUUUUUUAAAUAGGCUUUACAUGACACUAAGUUGAAUUAGACGAGUAUCAAAUAUUAGAUGAGAAACUUAAAAAAAAAAAAACAGAAAAAUAAUAUGUAUUUUAUAUGAGAAAAUAAUAACAAUAACAAAAUAAGGAAGCCUGAAAAAUCUUUAUUUGGUAAUAAAAUAUUUUAUUUACUAAAAAUAAGACCAAUUGUAAAGUUUGUAAAAUUAUCCCUUUCACACAGGAAAUAAAUCAGUCGUAGCUGUAGCCGCGUAUCAAGCGUGCUCAGACCGACCCCCUAUAUUUCCGUUAAUUACUUUUUAACCCCCCCCCCCAAAUUCCAUAUACUCUUUCUUCCCCACUGUCCCCUUUUGUAAGAAAAUCAAACCCCCAACACUAAAAACCAAAAUCUUCCAUACCCAAUUUCUUCAAAGUUCAAAUGCACUUACUUUUGCUAGUAUUAACCACACAGCAAAGUAGAUAAGGUAAAAAAAAAAAUACAAAAAUAUCAUAAAUUUUUUUCUUGAAAUUUUCAAACAAAAAAUACCAGAAAUGGUAACUCAUUUAUUCAGAUCUCUUAAUUUUUUUUCUAAAUUUUUUAUAUAUUCACAUUCUUUACCCCCUUUGUGUAUUUGGGUGGGUCUCAUUUUUUUUUUUUUUUUUUUUAUUUUCCUUUUCCUGCUACUUUAAUCUGCAAGAGCUUUAUUCAGGUUAAUUUGUUAUAAGUUAUAAAGUUUGAAUCUUUCUGAGCUGAUGUUGUCUUUUUUUUCUUUUUUUACAAAUUUUGAGGUUAGUAAGUAUUAAUUGCUUAUUUUUUGAUUUUUUUAAAAGGGGUGACAGAAGAAAGAGGGAGGAAAAAUGGGUAUUUGUUAGUUUGUCUUACGUAAUAGAGAUUUUUAUUUAUUUAAUUUAUAACCCUUUUGAUUUAAUUGGAGAAAGAAAGACUUAGUCUUGCUUGUUAAUAUUUUGAAAGGGACCCCAUGAAAGCUUUGUUACAGUUGUAAUUUCAAAUUUGUAGAGUGUAUAUGUUUGCAAGUAGUGUGUGUGUAUUUUUUAUUGGUAUUAUGUUUUGAAUGUUUCUUACACGCCUUUAGGAGGCCGAUUCUCCUGUAUUUUUUAAUAAUGUUUUUUCCAUAUCUAUGUUAAUUGUCUUAUAAGUAUUGGGGCUACUAGUGGGGGGUUAUAUAUCUAUCUAGUUGUGCAACAUUAGCAUGAUCUUGAUGUAUAUAGGGAAGAUUUGUAUGUGAAAAGUGGGAUCUUGAUGUGUUCUUGGACUUACAUUUUUUCCCACUUUGGUUCGGACCGUGCAUAGCGGGAGCUUUAGUUACCAAGUGUUUCUUGAGUUUGCAAUUUUUCCCCUUUGAUUUUUUUGCACCUUGGUGUCUGGGAGAGCUUUCUGUGCGUUACUGGAAAUGGUUUAGGAAAAUUUUGAUUUUUUGUUGUUGAGGUAUUUCAUCAAGAUUUAGGUGAUUUUUCUCUUCUGUGUCUACUUUGUUAUAUUUUGAAUUGUUUUGAUGCUUUCCACACAAAGUGACCAAGUGUUUUUGCUUAAAAAAGGUGUUGCUUUAACUGUUUUUAGUUGAUAAAAAGAGAGAACUGGCUUUGGAGAAAGAGAAAGUGGCCAACUGGUCAUGCUUUUGUUUGCUCAGCAUUAUUGACAUGCUGGGAAUCUCUAAAAGAUUUUCAUUUUCUAGUUGCAAAAAGACGUCAAAAUAUUUCAAAUCCAGAUAUAUUGUUUGCACUAUCUUUUUUUAAUUUUGGUCUGUGAACUUAGUGUUAACUAAUUCUCUGGUUGCUUCUUUGCCCUUAUGCAGUUUCAGGUUUUGUUGGUCAGUAAGUAAUCUUUUAGCACAAAUUUUAGCAGCAUGACUUCAAGAUCCUUCAAAGCUUCUGAUUCCCAGCAGGGUAAGCCUCCUGGUGUUACUUUUGCAAGGAGGACCUCAUCGGGUCGGUAUGUGAACUUAUCAAGGGAAUCACUGGAUAGUGAGAUUAGUGGCAUUGAAUUUGCAAACUACACAGUGCAUAUCCCUCCGACCCCUGAUAAUCAACCUAUGGAUCCUUCAAUUUCUCAGAGGGUUGAAGAGCAGUAUGUGUCAAAUUCGUUGUUUACCGGUGGUUAUAACAGUGUGACUCGUGCUCACUUGAUGGACAAGGUAAUUGAAUCCGAAACUAACCAUCCUCAGAUGGCUGGUGCCAAAGGUUCUUCUUGUGCUAUACCGGGCUGUGAUGGGAAAGUCAUGAGUGAUGAAAGGGGUGAAGAUAUUCUUCCUUGUGAGUGUGAUUUUAAAAUCUGCCGGGAUUGUUACAUUGAUGCUGUCAAAACUGGUGAUGGGAUAUGUCCUGGUUGUAAAGAGCCUUACAAGAACACUGAUUUGGCUGAGAAUGCUGUGGAUCCUUCUGGACGUCCUCUGACUUUACCUUCAAACGUUAGCAUGUCUAAAAUGGAAAGGAGGUUGUCGUUGUUGCGAUCAGGUAAUAAGUCGGCGAUAAUAAGAAGCCACUCAGGGUUGAUGAGGAGUCAGACAGGGGAUUUUGAUCAUAAUAAAUGGUUAUUUGAGACAAAAGGGACGUAUGGCUAUGGAAAUGCUAUAUGGCCAAAGGAUGAGGGGUUUGGAAAUGACAACGAAGAUAAUGUUGGUGAGCCUUCUGAACUUCUGAACAAGCCUUGGAGGCCGCUUACACGUAAACUGAAGAUACCCGCUGCAGUUAUUAGCCCAUACCGGUAAUUUUUCGUCUCUAACAGUUUCUAUUGCCAUCUUUCCUCUCUACUUCUUUGAAUUCAAGAACAGAAUUUGGUGAAAUUACUCGUAUCCAAGUGGCUAACGAAUUUAGGGAUUAGUUUUAACAUGAAUGCUUCCUUCUAAUCAAAGAAAGAUGCUAAAGUGAUAAUCAUAGUUUCUUUACUUUAAGUUCCUGUUAUAUGUUGAUCCUCUAAAAAAGUAUGUUAGACUUCAUCUUUUUAUCUUGCAAGACUAUAUUGCAAACAUAGCUUCUCGAGUGUACCAUAUUUAAGAGAACAGUUAAAUCUAGCUCUUUUGGUGGAUACCAUUAGAUAAUCCUGUGCUUUAGACAUUGAUUGGUUGCUUAAUGCCUGCUGANNNNNNNNNNNNNNNNNNNNNNNNNNNNNNNNNNNNNNNNNNNNNNNNGCUGAACAUAAUUGGUACUAUGUUUUAUUAUAGAUGGUUUUAGAGCUGUUCUGACACAACUCCAUGUAUACAGGCUCUUGAUUCUUAUUCGUGUUGUUGUUCUUGGACUAUUUCUUCAUUGGAGGAUUACCAAUCCGAACGAGGAUGCUAUAUGGUUAUGGUAUAUGUCCAUAAUCUGUGAGGUUUGGUUUGCAAUCUCUUGGCUGCUUGACCAGCUUCCAAAGUUAUGCCCCGUAAACCGUGCUACCGAUCUCAAUGUUUUAAAAGAAAAAUUUGAAACACCAACUCCUACCAAUCCCACAGGAAAAUCUGAUCUCCCAGGUAUAGACAUAUUUGUCUCUACUGCAGAUCCUGAGAAAGAGCCACCUCUAGUCACUGCAAACACGAUACUGUCAAUCCUUGCUGCUGAUUACCCCGUCGAAAAGCUCUCGUGCUAUAUUUCUGAUGAUGGAGGUGCUCUUCUGACGUUUGAAGCAAUGGCCGAAGCUUCAAGUUUUGCCAAUGUUUGGGUCCCAUUUUGUCGUAAACAUGAUAUUGAACCAAGGAACCCAGAAACCUACUUCAGCUUGAAGAGAGACCCUUACAAGAACAAAGUACGUCAAGAUUUUGUGAAGGACCGCAGACGGGUGAAGCGUGAAUAUGAUGAAUUUAAGGUUCGAAUCAAUAGCCUCCCCGAUUCAAUUCGUCGGCGUUCUGAUGCCUAUAAUGCCCGUGAAGAAAUCAAGGCUAUGAAGCGUCAGCGAGAGGCAGCUGGGGAUGAGCUUUUGGAACCCAUCAAGAUAACUAAGGCCACUUGGAUGGCUGAUGGAACCCACUGGCCUGGUACUUGGAUAGCAUCUGCUCCUGAGCACUCUAGGGGUGAUCAUGCAGGAAUCAUACAGGUAUUGAUCCUACAUAUUAAUACCGUCUAGUUAUAUGUUGCUUCCAUCUUUAUUUAUUGAUCAGGGCAUAAUUGCGUAUUGCAUUAAUUAUGCGUAUGAUCUCAUGCUGAACCCACUCCAUUUUGUUCCUCCUCCAAGUAUUAGGAAAAAGAGGAAAGAAAUUUAUUUUCUUCUCCCUGAUUAUUAUUGACUCUGUCUUCAGGGGUUUCUCAUUUUGCCAACUGUACGUUUAUUUUGCUAUUUUUAUACUCUUCUCAGCUGGCAAUAACUUGCAUGUUAAAUUCUUGAAGUAAUAGAUUUGGUUUGACAUUGUUAGCUGUUUUUCUUGUUUUUUUACAGGUUAUGUUAAAACCCCCAAGUGAUGAACCAUUACAUGGAACCGCUGCCGAUGACGGUCUAAUUGAUUCAACAGAAGUUGAUAUUCGUCUCCCCUUGCUGGUGUAUGUCUCUCGUGAGAAGCGUCCUGGCUAUGAUCAUAACAAAAAGGCUGGAGCCAUGAAUGCCUUGGUCCGAGCUUCUGCCAUCAUGUCUAAUGGCCCCUUCAUUCUCAACCUUGAUUGUGAUCACUACAUCUACAACUCACAGGCAAUCAGGGAGGGAAUGUGCUUUAUGAUGGACCGGGGUGGGGAUAGAAUCUGUUACGUUCAGUUUCCUCAACGUUUUGAGGGAAUUGAUCCUUCCGACCGUUAUGCAAAUCACAAUACUGUUUUCUUUGAUGUCAACAUGCGUGCCCUUGAUGGCCUUCAAGGUCCAAUGUAUGUGGGGACUGGUUGUCUCUUCCGCAGGACUGCUCUUUAUGGUUUUGACCCACCACGAACCAAGGAAUACCACCCUGGUUGCUGCAGCUGUUGCUUUGGUCGGCGCAAGAACAAUGCCACUGUGUCUUCUGUCUCUGAUGACAACAGGGCGCUUAGAAUGGCGGAUUUUGAUGAUGAGGAGAUGAAUCUUUCUUCCUUUCCUAAAAGGUUUGGUAACUCAAGUUUUCUGAUUGAUUCAAUUCCAGUCGCAGAAUUCCAAGGUAGACCACUUGCUGAUCACCCUGCAGUAAAGAACGGACGACCACCUGGUGCUCUAACUAUUCCAAGGGAACUUCUUGAUGCCUCCACUGUUGCUGAAGCGAUCAGUGUCAUUUCUUGCUGGUAUGAGGACAAAACUGAAUGGGGUAAUAGAGUUGGAUGGAUUUAUGGUUCUGUAACUGAAGAUGUGGUGACGGGGUAUAGGAUGCAUAAUAGGGGUUGGAGAUCUAUUUACUGUGUGACAAAGAGAGAUGCAUUCCGUGGCACUGCACCAAUCAAUCUGACUGACAGGCUUCAUCAAGUGCUUCGAUGGGCCACUGGUUCUGUUGAAAUCUUCUUCUCUCGCAACAAUGCUUUUUUGGCUAGUCCUAGAAUGAAAUUUUUGCAGCGGAUUGCCUACCUCAAUUGCGGCAUCUACCCCUUCACCUCGGUAUUCCUAAUUGUUUAUUGCUUCCUCCCAGCACUUUCGCUCUUCUCUGGUCAGUUCAUCGUCCAGUCCUUGAACGUCACCUUCCUCACAUAUCUCCUCGCGAUCACAUUGACUCUCUGCGCCCUGGCUGUGCUCGAGAUCAAGUGGUCCGGCAUUGCUUUAGAAGAGUGGUGGCGUAAUGAGCAAUUUUGGUUAAUUGGAGGCACAAGUGCCCAUCUCGCUGCUGUGCUUCAGGGGCUACUAAAAGUGAUUGCUGGCAUUGAGAUUUCAUUUACACUUACAUCAAAAUCUGCCGCUGAUGAUGAUGAUGAAUUUGCUGACCUUUAUAUUAUCAAAUGGACUUCCCUGAUGAUCCCACCUAUUGUAAUCAUGAUGACUAACUUGAUCGCGAUAGCGGUUGGUGUAAGCCGGACAAUAUAUAGUACGCUACCACAAUGGAGCCGUUUGCUAGGAGGGGUUUUCUUCAGUUUUUGGGUCCUGACUCAUCUCUAUCCUUUCGCAAAAGGAUUGAUGGGAAGGCGUGGAAGGACACCAACAAUUGUAUUUGUCUGGUCUGGACUUAUUGCCAUCACCAUUUCGCUCCUCUGGGUCGCAAUCAAUCCCCCUGCCGGUGCCACUGAAAUUGGAGGGUCAUUCCAAUUCCCUUGAUUUUUCCUGACAGCCCUAGGCCAAAUUAGUUCCUGCACAUUCCAUUCAGAUUAUUCUUUAGUUUCUACUUAUUUUUCUUCCUAUUCUGUAACAAAAUGUGGACCCAAAGACCUUCAAUGUUAUGUGGAUUUUGCCAUCACUAUUGUCCUUGAAUUUUUGUUUUAUGUUCAAUGUUCAUAGAGAAGGAAGGGCAAAAUAUACGCUACAUUGUCUGUAAGCAAAGCCUCAAAAUAUAGAUAUAUAGUAAAGUUAAAUUCUUUUUUUGAUAAUGCUUUAGCACCAUUCUUGUUUCUUUGAAGUUUUAGCUUUUCUGGCAAUUCACACAAAUUUACUCUAGACUGGAGCCUUGUAGUUCGCUCUUUCCACCAAACCUGCCCUGGGAUCUUUAGUGCACUAGGCGGUCUGUACUCUUUUUUGUUUGAUUUGUUUUUAGGACUCGUUUGGUACGCUGUAUUAAAUAAAAUAAUUUAUGAAUUAAAAUUUAGUCCAACCAUGUAUAAUGUUUGGUUGCCCAAUUUAAAUCUAAUCCCACUUGAUACAUGGAUAGCUAAUACACCAUAGAGUGUAUUAGCUUAUGCCUAAGAAACCAUGGGAUUACUUAUCCAUGACUUAAUAAUACAUGGAUAAAAGAAUUAAAUCACUCAACCAUCCCUCAAUUCUUUUAUUAAAUUUUUCUUUUAGUUCCAUUUAAAAUUUAAUCACUACAAAUUUGAUUGUUAUGUUACAUUUAAUUUGCCAACCUCUUUUUACUUUGCGUAUGCAAAUCAAGUGCUUAAAUAUCAUUUACUCCCUUAUGUUGGUUGAUAGCUUCGAAUGUGAACUACAUUUAUGUUAUUUUGUAUUUGUUCAAUUUACGGACGGGUUAAUUUAAAUAGAAAAGAUUAUUGUCAAAUAAAUAUAUAGUUUGAAAAUCUAAAACUACAUUAUCAACAGUUCGUGAUGUUCUUACAUAGUGUGCUUCUUCACAUUUUUAGAAAAUUAUUUCUCUUUAAUAUGAUAAUUAUUUAUUGCUUUAAAUUUUUCUUGAUUAAAUAGACUCAAUUUUUUUUUUAAAAGAAAUAAAUGAUCAACUAAGCGGAGUGAGAAUUAGUAUUCAUAUUUUAGCUUUUCUAUAAGAUCCAAAAAGGGUGAGCAACUUGACUAGUUAAAUGAAGUAGAAAAUCUCAUAAAAAUUUAAGGGUAUAAUUGUAAAGAAGAUUUUGUAAAGUUUUAAAAUACAUGAUAUAUUUACUUUUUUAUACAAUGAACCAAAUACUUGAUAAAAAAUAAUUCCUAUAUUACUAAUCCCUGCAUUGCUAUUGUUUAUCCAUGGAUAACUUGUCUUUGUUAGAACAAGUGUAGUUGUUUGUGCUUGUGCUUACAUAAGAAAUGUCAUAUUUUGUCCUUGAUAAUGCGUCUUAAUGUCAAUUUCUUAAGUCAUCUGUGGAUUAUUACCAAAUUCAUUAAGUCAAUAUUUCUUUUAUUUUCUAACCAACUCCAUGACUUCUCCAAAUCAGAUCAAUAAAGUGGAGUGCCUCAUGCACUUUGAGGAAUCUGAAGGUAUAUCCUCCUAAUUAUAUUCAUUCAGUUAGUAUAACAAUGAAAAUUAGCAAAUCAUCUUAAGCUUGGUGCAAAUAGGGCAGGGCAAGGUCCAAAGCAGCGAAAGGUAGUAGCACGUAUCUGGUAGAAUAGUUAAGAUGUGUGGAUCCUGACACCACCUAUAUCGGAGCCAUCCUUGUUCAAAGGAUGUCAUUCGCUAGGAAAAGUACAAUAUAGCUAAGUAAAAGUUAAAACCAUUUAACUCUAUAUACUAUUCUAUAUGUUGAAUUUUCUUUUGCUUACUUCUUUAUAUUUUGAUCUCCUUGAUGGAAGUCCCGAAUCUGCUUCUAGACAAUACCAUUAGUCCCAAAAUAAAAAAGAAGAGGUAGAACGCGUUAAAUCUUUUCCAAGUGUGUCUUUCACCUCUUCCAAUGGAUGAAGUAGGUUUAAGUAGUUGAACAAAAUAGCUACUAGUCAGCUCUGGACUACCUAAGUUAAUUAUAUUUACCUAUGGACAUAGUUUCUGAACCAAAUCCAUUCUCAAAAGUUGAAAGAAUAAUUCACCAAACUUUGGUUGAAAGAGUAAAACUUGGAGUAGCCAACAUAUUUGUUUUGGUCAGAAUAUAAACAAGUUACUGAAUUAAUCAGGUUUUAAUUUAAUUUGUUAGUUGCUAAUAAUUGUUCAUAUAAAGACACAGUCCACUAGCUAAAGUACAGAACAUCUUCAACACAGGGUGUGGAAGUUCGAAGCUUUGACAAGUGAAAUUCAAGCACAUGAUGCCAGAGUUUGAAAUAUUCAUGAAGUCUUAAAUGUGGAUGUCAAACCCUUGGAAAAAAAAAAAAAUCAAUGCGAAGUUGUAUUGUCAAUGAAUACUUAUCCAGCACAUGGAAUGGACUCGAUCUAAAAUUAUGGCCGAGUGUCAAAAUGCUAUUCAUACCAUCAGUCUCGAAAUCAGAAAUCUCGUUAAUGAUAUUUAACAUUUAUUAUAAGAAAACAUUUUGUCUAUGUACAUAAGUGUAAUUCUUCGACAAAGGAAUCCAUUGACAUACAUGGUUUCUCCCUUCAUAUAGCCCCUCAUACUAGGUACACAAGUGUAAUUCUUUGGCAAAGGAAUCCAUAAAAUGAUAUGUAUAUGCUCCUUACACUAUUUAUCAUAGUUCGGAAGUAUAUUUGUCCCUUUUUUGAUUCCAAAAAAAUUGAUGGUCUUACAUCUAUCAUAGGUUCUUCCAUAACUUCUUUUUUUCGAUUAUUGUCAGUAGAUAAUUACCAUAUAACGAGAACAAAAAAAGGGGUCACUUAGAUGAAUAUGUAGUGCCAAUAUACCUAGUGAAAAAACCAAGAAAACCACUACUCUUAAAAUUAAUGGAUAUGGUUUUUACUCCAAUCAACCACCACAUUGAUAUUUAUACCUCUCAUGUGUGUAUAUAUACUAAUCUCUUUGGUACCACCUAUAGGAUUUCUUUUUUACAACCCAUGAUAUUCACACUGUAUACCUUAAAUAUACAAAUUCAUUACAUUGCAGCAGCAGAACCACGUUGGCUAGACUUUGAUGAACCACCAUCAGCCACCUUAUUCCGCCGCCUAGAGCUCCGUCUGGAGCGGUUUUUACGGGGGCUAUGGCUCCCACCAAACUUCAUCCUCUGUCUAAGCCUUCCACUAUCCUUAAACAAAUCCCUUUCAGACUGAACAAUCACACAUUCUGGUGGCGGCACGGGGUACCUAAUGUUAUCAUAACAAUAUGAAUAGUACAUGUAUUUUUCUCUAAAAUGUUUCAUCGAUUUUCGCCUUUCGGUUGUGAUGUUAGAGUAAUCUUUAGCAAGUAAUUUGGCAAUCCUGUCAGUGCAAUUUGUUGAUGAAAUUUGCUCAAUUGGAUCAACUAUGCAACCUUCAAGAACUAAGUCUUUUAGCUCAGUUGCAAAAGGUUCAUAUUUAUAGUUCACUUUAGCUUUGCCACCAUUUGUAGCCCAAGAUGAUGCAUCCCAAAUUGUGGCAUAUAAAGACAUUGGCUUUGAUGGAAAGUCACCUCUCAUUGUUGGAUUUCGAUUUACUUCCCUAAUUGGUGUUUCAUCAACGUAAAAUCUGUAUAGCAAAGGAAUAAAAACAACGGGUUAGUAAAAGGACACAAAUGAGUCCUAUGUUGCUCAAAUUCUUCAAAAAUGUUGUCAGUUGCAUGUUGGAUUCUUCAUUUUUUGAGGAUCUGACCCACAUAGACUAUAGGUAGCUGCUUGUAACAAGUAACUAGUUAAUUGAAAAAUAUAACUAUUCGAGUUGAGCUAUAAGGAAAGGCCCAAUUAGACCAACGAUCCAAUAGGCUAUUGAGCUUCAGUUCAAUCAGCAAUAAGUUGCAACCGGUAAAAUUACACUUGUAAGUGUAAAAAAUCUUCGCAUUAUCAAUAUAUGCAAGUGUAAUCCUCUGAUAAUCACGAAAAUUCAAUCCUAUAAUACUUAUGCCCCAGGAUAACAGUAAAAGCACAUCACGAGAAGAUUUUUCGUAUGAUCAUUUUAUCCUAUCAAAUAGUAAGUAGACAUAAGAGAUCAUUUCCUCGUAACAAGCCAAGAAGACAUUGCUAUUUCCUACUUAUGUAGUCUUUUAUUUACUGUAUUCUUAAGUUCAUUAUUCAUUUUAUACAGUAUAAACAAAGGUUUCUUCACAGUACAUGUUAGAAAAAGCUCGAUGGUAAAUAUUGUGGCAAUUAAACUAAAAACUUUGUUAAUAAGAAUCAAAAAGGCAGUCCGGUAUACAAAGCAUCCCAUGUUCACGCAGGAUAUGGUGAAGGGCCGCACCCCAUGGGUGUGACAUAGACAACCUAUCUUAAUGCAAAUAUUAGUGAUUGCUUCUAUGACUCAAAACACAUGAUCUAUAAAUCACACCAAGGCAACUUUUUUUAAUGAUCCAAAUACUAGAUAGUAGUAUUAAAUUAGAGUAAUAAGUCCAAAGUCACGAUUACUGACUUUUUAAAGAAGUAUAGACAAACUCUUUUUAAGUGUGAACGUAUACAAUUAGUGCAAAUGUCAAUUGGAAAACAGCAAAUCACGCCAGUUUUCCAGCUCUAAAGAAUUUUGUAGAAAAGGAAGAAGUAAUAUAGUUGCAUUAAUUACCAUAAAUCGUGCAAUUAGAACUUUAUACCCUUUAAAAGUUAGUCACUCUCAUUAGUUAAUUAAUGAGCUAAUCAACAUUUUCCUGCACUUAAUUAUUUGCACAAUGACACUCCCAUGACAACUUUGGCAUGUUACCAUUCAUCUCUUUCAACACUGAGGUCCCCUGCUAAAGGUAAAUACUUAUUUGUACCGAGUAUUUUUAUUCAUAUAUAAUUAAACGAUUAACUUUAAGAAUUAACAAUUUAAAGUGAAAAUGCAUAUCGUUUAACCAUAAUUUAAUAUAAAAAAGAGUUUAUGUAAGACACAUGCUUACAUCUAUUGAGUUAGUAUAUAAAUUACCCGACUAAAACCCCUCCCCCCCUCCAAAAAAAAAAAAAAGAUCUAUGAAAAGAAAACCCAACAACAAUAACAUACGAGUAUAAUCUUACAAAGUAUGGUCUGAAGAGGGUAGGGUGUACACAAACCUAUCACUACCUCAAAGGUGAACUAUAUAGGCUGCCUUUUGUAGACCCUCGGUUUAAGACAAAAGAAGUCCAGAAAAUGACGUAACGAAAGUACAAAACAAUAUACAGUAACGAAACAUCAAAUAUAAAUUAUUAACUAAAUUAAGCUCCAAAAAAAACAUGAUUAAAUAAAUCCAAAAUAGAGAAGCUAACCAUUAUCUUAUUCAACAACAAAAGCAAUAGGUAACCAAAUAAUUGGAGUGAACUUUUCCAAAACGAAUGGAAACCUUUUCUUUCCUCGUAAUUUCUCUCUCCGCGUUUGGCCAAAAAGUAGGCACAGUUAUACUAUUUACAACAAUUUUCUUGCUGGAUAAAGAUUCCUCAAUUUUUAAUUAAAGGUUUCGAAAAUAGAGAAACUUCUGACAAGAUACGCUAGGCAAAUCUAAAAUUAGUUGGUCGGAGAGUUCACAAUACCAAAUACUAGAUUUUUUAAAAAAAACGUGUGCACUCCAGUGCACUAAAGUUUUGCUAUGCAUGAGGUUUGAAAAAAACUGGGUCCACAAGAAAAUAUUAUAUGCGGUCUUAUUUUGCAUUUCUACAAAGAGACUACUUAGAAUCUAAUUCUGGAUUCUAUAAUUUUCAAUCGUAUACAAUAAAAGUAUUGAAACUGAUAAUAAACUAAAGAGGGAACGAUCAAUAUAAUUAGAGAAAAAAGAUCAAUAAAUUGUAAGGAGCUUACAUGAUGUUUUUGGGGGUCCAAAGAAUGCUAUACUGAUGAAAUUCCUUGCUUGGAUCAAACCACAUUCUAUACCUCUCUUCUCUGCCACGACUAACACUUCCAUUUCCAUACAAGUUAGUCUGAAACCUCCAUGGCUGCCCAUUCACAUUCCCCAAAAACUCAAUAUCUAACUCGUCAUGAUUCUUCUCAAAUGUGUCCACAUUUGAAGUCUACAUAUCAAAUAUAUUGCAUAAAUAAGUAUUCUUAAGUUUGAAUCAUUAAAUGAAAAAUACAACAUCUUGCAACAAACAAAACAAAAAAGAAAUUUGGUGCACUAAGCUACCGCUAUGACAGUAUUCAAGAAAGGUUAUCCGUAUUUUUUUUUCAUGUGUGAAUUACAUAGGCAGAUCGAAUAUUUAAGCUUUUAUGUGUUCAACCUUUGAGGUUCUUAGCAUUAAAUUCAUUACUAUAUUUUAAAGAUUAUGGGUUGUCUACUAUUUUUUGGAAUUAUAAUGGACUUUUACCCAUAAAUUUAUGUUCCACGUUGAAAAUACGGAAUUUAAAUGAAUAUGAUUAAGUAAAGUUGCAUUUGCCUCUGGGUCUGGCAAAGAGAAAGCAAUGGGUGCACGAAGUAUUCUGCAUUCACCACUACUACCCAAAUGCAAAUAUCAGUGUUUAAUUAUACACUAUGCAUCACUUAUUAUAAACUCAUAUGAACAAUAUAACAGUACAACAUGAUGCAAUAUAAUUAUAAUCAAACAACAUGCAUUUUCAUAUAACACUCCAGUCUCUCCCCAUGCAAAUUACACGUCUGCUUCUUCCUUCUUCAAAACAUAAUCUUGUGGAUUUCAGAACAUCUACAUGGAUAUAUUAUUAUGACUAAAAUAGGUAGUCAAAAUCAGUGCUCUUAAACAAAUAGUUUAUCUCAAAUAAUAAUUUAUGCAUAUAAAUCCAUAUAUCCAUAUUAAUAAAUUCUUAUAUACUUACAUAAAAAGCAACAACAAUGCCAGCAGUAUAUAUGGCCGGCAACUUAAUACUAGCACUAAAAAAUCCAUAAUUGUAAUAUUCUGUUGAUAUUACACCUGACCCUGCAAAACAUAAAACAAAUAUUCACAUAUAAAUAACACAUAAUUAAAACACAAUAAUAAAAAAAAAUGAAUUAAUUUACCUGAGAAACGAUUAAGUAGGAGACGAAAACUUCGAUCAUCAGGAGAUUUUUCAAUAUUGAAAUCACUAAAAAGAGGAGAAUAGCCUUGUUUGAAUGUUAUCGUCGAUAGAUUAAAAGCCUUGCUAGUCGUCGUCGCCGCCGUCGAAGCCACUGGAAAAAUGUAUAAUAAUAAAAGGAGGGAGAAAGGUAUUAUUGAUUUUGAUAGAGAUAAUAGAACUCGAUAAUCCAUGUCUAUAUAUAUAUAUAUUUUUUUUUUUUUUCUGGUUUUGUAAUUCUAUAUAGAAUAUUUUUUUUUUUGUAUUUUUUUGUUUAUAUGUUUAUAUAGGGUUAUUGCUCUCUUCUCCCUCCCUUAGUUAUAUAUAGUUGUCUUCUCUUCUUCUCUCUUGUCAUUUUUGGAUUUGAUCAUAAAGAUGGUAACAAAAUGUGCAGCCAUGAAGAGAGAUUUGGCAGGUUUCGGUUUUGAAGGGUUGGAAUUACAUAAUAGUCCUUGUGGUUGGAGGUUAUUCACAAUAUUGUCACGCGAUUCUUUUUAUUUUUUAUUGUUAUGAAAAGAAAAUUAAGAAUUUGCGGAAAAAAAAAAAAAAAAAAAUAAAGGGGCGUCAAGGGAAGUUAUGCAUAAAAAUGAAUAUAUUUUGUGGGUAAAAUGAGGAUCUCUUAUAAAAAUGACAUUACUAAAAAUAAAUUAUGAAACCAAUUAAUAAAAGAUCCUGCAAGUUUGGGUUUUAAUAUUAGUCAGAGUUAUAUUUAUGUCCGUUAUAUAAGAUAGUUAGGUUAUUAAUUUAAGAUAAUAGAUAACUCAUCCAUAUGUGUAUAUCAAAUCUAAUCUGGACUUGAAAUAUAAAGUGUAAUCUCAUACUACUACAUAAGAAGUUAAAUUGUAUUGAUAUUUGCUAUUUUCUUUUAUUUGCUUAGCAUAUAUGACUUAAAUUCGAACUCUGGCAUGUGUAGCUAGGUGAUGUAUAUAGCUUUCCUAAUGGGAAAGGCCAAAAUUCAUGGUGCCCCUAAACUUGGUACGAACUUUUACUUAGGCACUUUAAGUGGAUGUUGUUCACUUUUGGUAUCUCAAGUAGCUAUAAAGUGUGUCACUUUGACACCUUUUGCUGAUUCAGCACAUUGUGUGUGUUGCACUACACUAAAAGCGCGUGACAAGCUCUAUUUUAUAAUUUCUGUAUUUUUUUUUUACCUUCUUCCUCUUUCUUCUUCCACCAACUCAACCUUCCACCACCAUUAACAACUAUUGCAAAACUUCCAACAUCAGCUUUAAACCUUCUUCUCCGUCCAUUCUUCACCUUCCAACAUCAUCACCAUCAUCCACCAAACUACCACCAAAUUUUUGAAUUAAAAAACAUCGAAGAAAAAAAUCACAUACAUAAUUUUAAAAAUUAAAAAUCACAUCUCCAUGAUUGUUGUAAAAAAUUUAAAAUAGUGUAACCAAAUUUUUCGCACAACCACCAUUAAUUUUGUUAUUCACCUCCACAAUUUUUGCACCACAAUUGAAUACAAUAUCACCAUCAAACUUACCUUCACUCAAUUUUCAUUAAUUGAGUCUAUUCUUAAAUGUGAUCCAACUAAAAUAUAUCAGAGUAUAUCUGCACGAAACCAUACCAAAGCAACUAGACAGAAAUUGAAGCCAAAUGGGUUCCUUCUUAAAAUUAUUUUUUUGACCAAUUUAUUUUUGUUGAGAUGAAAUUGUUGUCAAUUAAUCGAAAAUUGUUGUCAACUUGGACGGAGAGUGAAAAAUUAUUGUCAAAUAUUGUCAAGUUGUUGUGAAUUUGAUGUCAAUUUGGUCGGAAUGUUGUAGUGGUUAGAGGCGGGGAUUUGUGGAUUGAAGAAGACAAUAUAGAGGGGAUGGGUGGGUGGCGGUAGGGGAGGGUGGGGUGGCGGCAAAUGAUUUUGGGGUAGGGUGGCAGAAUACAAUUUGGAGGCGAGGAAAAACUUCAACAAAUUUACAGUCUGCCGCUUUUGACCACUCGCCACUGUCUCCUUACCGGGUUGAGGCCCCCUUCAAUGGGUUCUAAUUCUAAGAAGGGGGUGGUGCCCUGAAUCAAUCAAAAAACUUAUUGAUUUAAUUGAAGGAAACUAAGACGAUUAGCUUAGCUAGCAUUCUGGGAGGUGCUAACGAGCAAGAAAAGGGGUGUGCUAAGGCGCAACGACUUUCGCGCAACUGCUACGCCCUUGCUUCUUGCUCGAAGUCUCGAAACACUCUAUCUCAUGCUUUCAUAGGAAAAGAUGAUCUGGACCUUUCAAGGUCAAGAUCCCAAUGAGUUGAACUAUGUUCAACGAAUCUCUAUACCUUAGUCUCAACUCAUUUGGAUCACAUUACAUACACCACUAUGACAACCCUAUUUAAUGUGAAUUUGAAAACACUGAACAUUAGUCAAAAGCGAUAUGUGGAAUCAUCUUGCGCCAUAUGUACUGAGAUUGUUCGGGAGACAUGGUCCAAGCCCGGUGAAAAAAUGCAAUAAAAAAAGAUUAUGAUGUUAAAGAGCCCUUGUUUUUCCAAUUUCCCGGCUACUACGUGUUGAUUAUACUUAUUUAAGUCCGACGUAUUUGUAUAUUUUGUAUUUUUCUUCUUUUUUUUAUGAUUUUUCCUUUGAUCUGCUUAUUCCUGUGAAGUUAGUGUGAAUUAUUACUUUACCAUACGUCGGAAUAUGCUGUAUACAUCAGUUCCUUUCUUAUAGAAAUUCGAAAGACUUUUCAAAGUUGAAUAUUCAGUUGAUUUACCCCUUAUUACUAUUACUAUUACAAUCAACAUUUCAGAAUAGUGCAAAUUUUUUAUCUCUCCAUCAUUUAGAAAAUCUAAGAAUGAAUCAUUGAUAAUUCACCACAUCAUUGAUACAAACAAUAUCCAGAUACCAAAUCCUACUUCUAUAUACUAUACUCCCCACAAACUAGAUGAAGCUCGUGGGAAGGUCAAAGAAAGAAGAGGCAUCUUCCUGGCUUAGAAAUAGAUCAAAAACCCACCCUUCGCCCACCUCUCCCUCAGCGAGGAAAUAGUAGUAGCAACAGUCUCCCCAUUAAUUCAAGGUUACAGUCCCAACCAAGUCAAAGAGUCUGGUACGAACAAAGACAUUAUAAUAGCUUGAAUCACUCGAAAGGGACCACACAACAAUGGCUUAUAAUUGGAAAACAUAACAACUGCUCACCCUGACUACGUCUGUAAGUUAAGAAAAGCUCUUUAUGGGUUAAAACAAGCACCAAGAGCGUGGUAUGGGGUUAGGAGCGUUUUCAAUAUGAUUAUUUUCUUGUAUUUUUUUGAUGAGAAAUGCGAGUCUGUUUUGUCCACUUUCUUCAUCCCCUCUAUCAAAAUGAUCAAAAAGGAAGGCGAACUUGCUUCUUAUUCCCAUGUUGGAAAAGUCAGUAUGGUGCCCUAAAAGACGUGCAGACUGAGUGAGUUUCCACCAAUCCAGAUGUGCCAAAGAUUGAGGACUAUGAGGGUACGGUGCUAUCUUUGUACUUUGUUUGUUGCACAUGGCCUAAUGUACACUUGCCCCUUUUUUCUCACUCUUUUGGUAUCAAUUUGAAUGCGGGAGUUUGGAUUCAAUCCAAAGAAGAAAGAACCCAUUUAUUCAGAGCGAAAGCAAGAGAUAGUUGGAUUGUAAGACUUUCUCUCACAUCCCACUUCCUUCCAUGAGAUAGUCAAUUUUAGCAUCUUUGAAGAAUCAUAUUGAGAAAAAGAAAGAAGCCUGGGGAUAAAGUGAUGAGCCCAAGAUGUUAUAAAGCUUUGGGUCGUUAAUGUUUAAUAUAAUAUGCAGAAACCCUAACUUUCUGUCUUCUCACAGCUCUUUAUCCAUCAUGCUAGCGAAAAAAGUGAAAGUACGACAGGCUCUUCCAUGAGAAAAGGGAUUCCUUAGUUAAUAGGAUAUGUCCUUUAACUUGGAAGAUUGGAAAACCUUGGUUGUUCUUCAGACCUUUUUCUGUGGCAUAUUAGAGCCAUAUAGUCUCCCGCCAAUAAAAAAUCCCCUAACAUUAUCAGGUAGGUCCAGGAUCUCUAAUCUAACUUCGUGAAUCGAAUUAAAGAGUUCUCGAUGUAGGGCCCAGUUUGUCUUGUCCAGAAGAUGGAAUUUUCACAAAGCACGUGCAUCCGAAUAGUCAUCAGUUUGAAAGAGAGUAGAACGCCCAAAGAUAACGUGUAGAGGAGAUCGCUCACCAAUAAUAAGAGUCAUCGUCUUCUUACUCAGAUAAGCAGCCAUUAUUAAAUUGGCUUUACUAGGGAUCCUAUAAUAGGAGAACUUUCAUUUCCAGUAGAAAUCCUAUCGCACUCUCUCCCGCUUGGUGGAUGAAAUCUUCUCUCCUUUUAGAAUUCUUUCUCCCACAUACCUUUUUUUCCCUCUUUCAUCGAAGAGGAAAGAAUAAUCUAAAAUAUAAAAGCAGACGGUCUCGUAGAUAAAGAAAGAGAUUAUUGACGUUAGUAUACUAAUCUAUUCAUUGGUAAGGCAUUUCUUCCCGUGACCGCCUUUCUUACCAAAAAGCUAACCCAACAAAAUCUAGGUUUUUUCUAGACUAAACCCAAUGUUUUAUUUCUGUCCUAGUUGAUCCUGAUUCGACAUUAGAAGUAUAUCGAUUUUUCCCCAAUAACCGUAUACUUUUGUUUGGAAAUACUGCAUACUAGAUUCCAUCUAUAAAUCGUUUUUCUUCCUUAUGAGUGAAAGUCUCAAUAAGAAUGCUAGUUCUUACUGUUCAUUAUGAUAUGAAUAUACCACAACCUAAAAGCCAAAUCAUACAAAUAUGCUUCACGUUAGGAAUAAUCUGAGUUUUGAAUCCAUAAAUAAUUGCUAAUAUAAGGGUAAUCAUGUCGCCUAUGAUAAUUCGAUUCCAUAGCGUAAUUUCGAUUUAGUCAUACCCUCAGAAUAGAACUUUUGUUGUUAGAGGCUUGAUAGAUCUUUCCAAGCUCAUUCAAUUCUGCUCAUUCAAUUCUUAAAUAAGAAAUCUUAUCUUUCUUUAUCGAGAUUGGGUUGGUGUUCAGUGUACCCCUAAAGAAUUUCAAGAAACUAUCUUUACCACGAAGUAAGUUGAUCGAGAAAGUGGCAGGACCAUAAAAUAACGCCUUGAGUUGGACUGUGGUCCCUUCGACAGUUGUGGAUGCGCUUUACUUCUUUCUGAGUAUCCCAGUGCAGCAGUCUUGUUCAAGCUAUGGAUCUUAUACAGAGAAGGAGUGUGAAAGCCCAUCUGUGGCUGCCAAGAGAAGGGAACUGCCCAUUUUCAAUUUUACCGGGUCCAUGUCGGAGACAACGGGGCAGUCGUUACACCAUUCGUGCAGGUGGCUACUUAUGCGAAAAGGAAUUUCGCUACCUUAGGAUAGUUAAAGUUACUGGCCCCAUUUGCUGGGGCUUCCAUUCAAAACAUUCGAACAAUACAAAGCACAGAAGAAAGAAAACCACAAAUGCAAACAACAGUAACAAGUACAGACAUAAAAGUGCAAGAUGAUCCAUACACGCUCGACCGCAAAAAGGAGAAAACGACCUUAAUAUCCACUCUGAUUAAGAACAAUAUGUUUUUCUCCUUUCCUUGCCCUUCUUGAUGAGGUGCAGCACCAACCCGAAAAUGAUAGAUUUCUAAAAAAUAAGUAAAAGCAGAAUGAAAGACAGUCCUAUAUUAACAAGGACGAGCUUUUUCAGGAAGAAAGCUUCGCGCCCAACUGCUUGUAUAUCGAUCGGAAAGAAGCAGCUACAAAUGCUAUCAGUGUUUCUUCCUUCCUAUCUAAGAAAUGCUGGCUUUUUCGAUUGACCCCGAUGCAUGUAAUGGAAUCGGGUACUAUACCUUUUUGAGGUGCGCAUACACAAAGGGAAUUCUUUUCUUGCCCAAUACAAAAUUGAAUAUAAGAAAAUACUUUCCAGAAAAAAUAAAAAAAACAUUUAUUUUUCUGGCUACGGAUUUAUGGAACCUCACUUACUAGUUUAAAGUUAAAAAAUAGAUUUCAUGCAAAUUGCACACUGAGCUUUUGGUAUUGGUGUCCCGGGGCUAAUAAUAUACGAAGAAAGGAGGGGGAAGGACAGAUCAACCAAAGAUCCUACUCCUCUUAGAAAGGGGAAUGAAUCAUUUUUUUGAUUUUUGAUUUUGUUUUAAGGCCCCAUCAACGAAAGAACAAAUUGAAAAAUAGUAAAUUUGAUGAAUAUACAUUUUAUACAAUCACAUCUUUAUCACACUUCUUUGUCUUCCAAGUCAAAAAUAGUUUCGUUCUAAACUCCUUUCUUUUUCCAUUUAGCUUUUAUUGUUUGUUUGGGUUUGUAACUAUGUGACCACUGAAAGUGGAAGAGCUGUUUGAUGUGACUUCAUUAGAUGAUUGUACAAGAAGGAACUAGAUAGAUUAAAGAGAAAAAAAGAACAAAUGAUAAAAAAUGAUAAAUAAAGGAAUUUUGAUUGGAUUGGGUUAGGCAUUAUUUUGUGGGACAUACAGAUAGUUUACCAAGAAGAGCAAAGGAGAUUCCACUAAGAACUUCUAUUGCUAAAAGAGCUAAUUCAAGUGCAGUACUUACUGUAACAAGAACAACGUGAAGUCAAAAAAAUAGCUCGACGUCAGGAUGAUAAUAAGUUUAACACCUCUCAUUCUUAUUCAAUAUGAAAACGAAAAAAAAGAUUUGAAUUUGAUGAAGAAGACACUUAUUGUUCCUUAUGUCUUAUGUAAGGGCUUAUAAGAGAAUGUGUAAUGUGGCUAAAUAGGCGGAUGGCCUAAAAAAGAACUUGAUGGAUUAUGAGAGACUGCCUCGAGCCCAUGUGAAGGGUUUGGUUAAGAUAUGCCAGAUUCCACCAAGUAUACAAAUGGAACCUAACCAUACAUGUCCUCCGAUUAGAUUUUCUAAAUCGUCCACACUAACAAUCUGUGGAGGAAUAUAUAGUAUUUCAUUGCUACAAGUAUGAAUUAUUGAAAAUAAUAAGAUAUGGAAUUGGACAUCUUUCUUUGCCUUGCUUUGCCAAAUAGAGAACUUCUAUUUGGAAGCUCCAAGCGAAAAUAAAAGUCCUUCGGGUAUCGCCAUCGAUUACUCAAAAUUCAACUCAUACACAGGGAGAAUUUCAACUUAUAUCAGAGUAGGAAAAAUGGAGAUGCUGGUAAUCAUAUACAUAGUAAUGAAUGCCCGACCUUUCUAGUGGCGAGGCUUACCCCUCCGUAUUACAGGACCUAAAAAAAGGCUUUCAGUAGCGCCCUUAGAAUCUAAGCCUUUUGACAAGGGAACUCAUGUGGAAGACCACUUCCAUUGUCUAAAAGCCUUAUUAUUGGAAGGAAACAGCACGACGAUUGACUCAGGCUCUAAUUUUUUUUUGUUUUCAUAUUGAAUAAGAAUGAGAGGUGUUAAGCUUUUUAUCAUCCUGGCAUUGAGCUAUUUUUUCGUAGGACCUCCCCUACAGUAUCGUCACUACAAUAGAGUUUAACCACCAAGUUUGGGAUGGAUUGACUGAGAAAUUAAUUGAGUACAAAACUUAUCUUUAAGCUUUACCUUAUUCUGAUCGUUUAGAGAGCGAUCACGGGGUCACUGAAUGAGCUUCGCUGCGCUGCGGUCUCAUGAACUGAACUUCAGUGCCUUUCCGCGUGCUAAGCGAAUGGGUGUUGUGCCAUAGGUCAGUUUCGGGGUGGGGAGCGAAGAGAGUCCAAAAGAAUAAUUCGACUCUGCCUGCUGCUUCAUUAUUGAUUUUACCCAUAGAUUGUUAGACGUGAUUCUGGGGCAAUGCGCGCUUCUUUUCUUGCAGGAUCCUGUGUUUUGAUGGACCGAAUAACAUAGAGGACAUGGAAAGAUUGCCAAAAAAGAAGCAUUUUUUCGCACAACUUGCUCAUAGUGCAGGUCCCACUUGUAUAUCGUAUGAAAAAGUGGCAUCGUUAACUUCAGAGAAGGUCGACCUCCUUAUAAACAUUGAAUGGUCCGAUUUACUUAUUUGAAAACCGUUGCGAAGCAUGGUUUGGAAAGGCCAUCUGAAAGACGGUAUAUAUUAACAUUCAAACCUAUUCCUUUGUGGCUGCUAUUUGUAUGGUCUGUUCUAGUGACAACAUUUCCACUUUUAUUAUCACUUUCGGUACGACCUUAACUUUUAUAUCCCUCAUUCGAUAGAUCCUUUUAAUGGACAUUCUUAGUCUUCCUCUGAGGGCCCCAUAGAUCAGAUCAUGAACGUUUCGUAUCUUCGGAACAACCAGAACAGGAACAGUGGACCUAAGUAAAGGAAAAGAUCUUCAAAUAUUUUAUUUCCAUAAUUUCACUUGAUUUGAUAGAAUUUUACCUUCUUCAUCGGGAAUGGUCAUCGCUUAAUGCAUGUAGGGGAGCUGGGGCUUUUCCCCCACGACCCUUUUUAAAGGAGAACCAGAAGAACAACAAUGAACUCAAAGCUAAUGAAGGCAGUUGUUCAGCUGGCUGCGGCAAUCAUUGCAUGCGCUUGUAUCCAUAUGUAUCCUUAUAUUUCCUGGGAAGAUUGUCACUACACCGAUACUGACUCCAUUCUUAUUAAAGGACGUCUUCCAGAUGAAGUUAUCUCUAAUGGACUAAGUGAAGACUUUACUUUUUCUAUACUCUCUUUGUCAAAAAUGGAAAUAAGAACUGUCAAGUGAUUCGUCGAAUGCUUCUACUUAUGUAGAUGGAGUCCAGUAUGCUACUAUAUAUAUGAUAAUUUCCAAGACAAUAUCAGAAUCGAGGCCUCCUCCUUGUACCAAUUGAUGCUGGGGCAGUGCUUACUAUGAAGAAAAAAUAGAAAAGUAGUCUAACUAGAGCUAAGGUAAAAACAUGGGCAAUCCUAGCGGAAUAGGGAGCACUUGGAAUCAAAUGAAUUCGAACAAAGAAAAUGCGGAGUCACUAGUCCCACUAAGGAUUUGUUGUUUUGUUUUUUUGAGGCUUCUCCUUGUCCUUCUAUUUUAUUGGUACUCGGAGGGGGGGGGGGAGAUUCUCGAAGGAUUCAUUGCCGCGUGCGACGGGAGGAGGGAGCAUCCGUAAAUCGGCCCUUCCCGUAGGUUCUUUUCUCAAAGAAUAAAGAAUUGGAGGAGGGAAAUCUUGAUAGAAUUUGAAAAGAAAUGUCUUCAAUCUGGUUCUUGUUUCUUGUAGGUUUAUAGCACGCUAGGCUAGCUAAGAAAGGUAUUCUACCAUGACCCUGGUUGGUUUCCGAAGAUGACCCCUCGUCUUGUCUCCAAAUAACGCUUCGCUUCCAGUUCUUCAAAAGAAUCAACUUAUAUCUCCCUUCUUCAUUGAUUUGGGGGCAAAAGAAGCCGUCUAGCAGAAACGGGGGCCACUGAAGCUAUCUGCGUCAAGUAUUUCAAUUGAAAGAGGAAGAGAGACAAGUCAAAUGCCAACACAGAAAUUGAAAGAGUCAUGCUUCAAAGUGGAAUUCUUCUAAGAUCCAUUGCUCAAUUUUGCCAAGUCCUGGGCUAAGUUGAGCUUCGAAGUCGGGCUUUCUUCCUAAUCUCAUCUACUGAAAAGGGGGUCGGGCAUAGCACAUUCUUUUUUAGGACACAGACUGGCUGAGACUCUCAUGCAGUAGGAGCGGACUAAGUUGGUAUUUGUCUACGAGAGGUGCACUCGUAUUUUGAGGCUUUCAUGAUUUAGAGAAGGACGAUGAUCUAUCGUGUACGCAGGGAUCGCUAUUGGAUAGAGCCGUGUGAGAUACAUUCUUCAAUCGCGAGCCAAGGGAGUACUAUCGCCACGUUAGGCGAGUGGCUGUCAUCCAGGCAUUUCCCCCUCUUUCAUCACCAUUGAAAGCGCUUUGCCGUCCACUCUUAAGAACGGUUCUUCUUCGGGUCUCUUUUUUAAGAGAUCAAUUUUGAUAUUCCAUUACUCUUUUAUCUUGUCCUGCGUAGUCUUCCUCCUAUAAUAGUUAGCAGUACUGAACAAGCGAGUCAUCGGUCCGAGGAAAUAAAAGGACCGCCUUUGAAAAAAAAGAAAGAAAAUGCAUUUCGACCCCAUCGUAGUUCUCAAUCAUUUCGUGGCACUGGGCGUGGCUGAACCUUCUACAAUGGGGGAGCUAAUGCACAGGGAGGAAGCUUAGAUAAAUAAAUACGUUGCAAAUUGCUUGGACUGACAACCUUUUCUCUUUCGUGCCUAAGCGAUGGAGAUGAAGUACUUGGGAUCAGCAGAAUUCUAAAACUAUGGAACCAACUGGUUUCACAUCGGGAGAACAAGAUCCGGAGCAACGACCCCAACAUUUUAGAAGAUAUCUUGAGAAAAGGUUUUAGCACCGGCGUAUCCUAUAUGUACUCAAGUUUAUUCGAAGUAUCCCAAUGAUGUAACGCCGUCGACUUCUUGGGAAAAAGGAGAAAGAUGACUUUAAUCUCUUAUUUCAGAGAAAUAAGUGGCUCACAAAGAAUGAAAAAAAACAUAAAAAACAUAUUAUAUUUGAUCUCUAAGUCCGUACAUAGCAAUCCUGGGUGGGUCAUCACUUGUAGGAAUGGCAUAAUGCUAAUCUAUGUUCCACACGGUCAAGGAAGCAUCGGUUCUUAAUCUCAUUAUGACUUGGUCGUUCGAAAAAGCUGCUGCCCGACCAAGGAAAUAAGGAGAAGAUUGAAAGGGUUAUGAAUUCCAUUGAGUUAGCCCUACUUGAUCGAAUCACCCAGUCUCUUCCAUUCCGCCUACGACCCCUUUAGAAUUCCAAUGUUGCUAGAAGUGGUGUGCUUGAUCGUAGAUUGGGAAGUGCGAGAGAGCAACCCCCGUUCUAACGAAUUUUUCUUCUUUCACUGUUAAGCAAGUCCCGAAUGCUAAAAGAGUUUCUUAGUGCUUCAUUACCUGAAAGAAAUUCGAUCCAUGGAGCUAUCUUUUCUUUUCGAAGAAAGAGCUAGAACUACCUGACCGAAGGAGAUAGACAGGAAGGGAGGUGGUGAUUAGGAUAACCCAAUUAUAGUUGUAGGACAGUCGUCGCUACUGGACGGCGAAAUAGAUUUUGGAAUUUAUUAACAUUCUCUAAAAAAGGUACUGUUAAAAAUCCCGCAGGUACUGAAAGCAUUAAAAGAACCCCCAAUAAUUUACUGGGCACUGUACGAAGUAUUUGAAAUACAGGAAAGAAAUACCAUUCAGGUAAGAUUUCCAAAAGGGUUGCAAAUGGAUCUGCCGGUUCACCAAUCAUUGAAUUCUGGUCUCUCUUUGCUCCCCACCCCGAAAUUGACCCACGGCACAACACCCAUUCGCUUCGCGCGCGAGAAGGCAACGAAGUUCAGUUCAUGAGACCGCAGCGCAGCGCAGCUGAGCAGCCGCGACACAUCCUUACCUUAGCUGAAUCUCGCUGGUGCCACCUAAACGGUAGGUAGGCGGCGGAUGUGUGACAUUCGGAGUUUUCGUUCGUGCACCUGUCCCCAAUAGAAGAAUGAGUGAUCUGUUCUCCUGUGGAUCAUGGCCUUACCACUCGGGCCCUCGGUGGCAGCAAAUUUGGGGGUGGGUUGGGUUGAAGAAGAUGAUAUGGGGUGGGGUGGGGUGGUUUAGAGGGUUAUUAAUAUUUUUUAUUUAAAUCAAUUAUAUAAAAAUUAUGUUUAUAAAAGUGGUGGGAGGAAGGGUUAUUAAUAUUUUUUAUUUAAAUCAAUUAUAUAAAAAUUAUGUUUAUAAAAGUGGUGGGAGGAAGGGUUAUUAAUAUUUUUUAUUUAAAUCAAUUAUAUAAAAAUUAUGUUUAUAAAAGUGACAAGUGUCUUUUUAUAAUUGGUCCCUUUUUAUGUGUUUUAGUCUUUUUUUCAAAAAAAAAAAAAUUGUUGGUGGAUAUAGUGAUGUGGCAAUUUAAAUGAGUUGACACGAAUUAAUUGGCCAUUUUUUCCACGUUGACAGCGAGUGAGACACACUCACUGGUGCUGGUGUCGAAAGGUGUCAAAGUGACACGCUUUAUAGCUACUUGAGGUGGCCAAAAGUGACAACGUUCACUUGAGGAAAAGAAGAUAUAUGCAAAUAGACAACUCAAAAUAUUAUCAAUAUGGAUUGUAAGAGGAAAGUUGAAGAUCUUUCAUUCUUAAUUAAAGAUCUCGAGUUUGAGUUCAUGAAAAUAAAAAUUAAGAUUCGGUAGUAAGCACCGCUCUAGAAAUGGGUCAUACAAUGCGUCAAUCCGUAUUUAAUUAAAUCUCAUAAUACCAAAUAUCGAGUGAAAAACAAAAAUAAGAAAGACAACUGAAAAGGAAAUCAACAUUGAGUGUUGUUUGUGUUUAGGUCUUAGUUUCCUAAUUUGGAAGGGCUACUGCAAAUGGGCAACUGAAAUGGAAAGUACCAUCAAGUGCUGUUUGUGUUUGUACCCACAAAUGGUUGUGAUAGAUAAAACCGAGUAAUAACUUAUCCCGAGAAUAGUUAUCCCAUAAUUGCAGUGUUAUUUUUAUCACAUAGUGGCGUAGGAAUAACCAUCUCAAUAAAACUUUUUCGCCAAACAAAGGAGACCUUACACUAACCAAAUUACUUUUACCUAUAAGAUUGUGUGUAAAUAUCAUUUGGAUUAUUGAGUUAUAUAUAUUUUUUUUAAAAAAACAAACUUCUAAUCAUCGAUGAAUACAUCAAUUAAACUCUCCAGUAUUGCUUUAGCAUUUACUCAUGAGUCAUGUCCUCCUCCAGAGUGAUUUGACCCAUCUUAAAGCAUAAAAAAUUACUAGUAUUUGAUAUUUAUAUUAAUUCAAUGAAUACAUGAUACAUAUUUUCAUCUUAAUUUAUGACUUAAUCAUUAAUAUCCGGAGAUGCAAACAACUUUUUUAGGAAGGAUAUGUGAUGCCACCAAAAUUUUAAUGGAGUAUGCAAACGAUAAAUUUUAGAAGAUAUUUAUUUUCUCGUGUCUAUAAUAAGGAAAUUCAUAAAAUAAACUUGUAGCAUCAAGUAACUUACUAUGAACUACCUUUGCCACUACAAAGAAAUUAGCAAAUAACUUUUUGUCCGAUUUGGACAGUACAAUUUUUCAACGAAGGGGAUUCAAUUGAGAUGUAUAAACAGAAUUUUGUUAAACGUAUUGUCAAGGGUAGCUAAAAACCAGCAUUACUCCAAUGUCUCCAAAUGAGGUCUAACUUCUAACCGAAGUUUUGAUGAUAGAAAGGUAACAUGUCACAUCUUUAGCUAAAAUAGAAACAUAUAGUAAUCCCAUCGUUUCAUAAUAAAUGAAUUAUUGGAUUUUGACACACAUAUAAAGGAAAAUGCAUUAAAGACAAAAAUUUAACACAACUUUUCAUUUUUACCCUAAAAAAAGAAAAAGUUGACGUUGUAAUACUUUUUCAAAAGUUAAUUGGUUGUCAAAUCAUAAGGGCAAAUUUAGAAAAAAAAUUCAAUGAUUCACUUAUUUUGAAACACCAAUAAAUACUCUAAUAAUUCACUUAUUCCAAAACGAAGGGAGUAUUUUUUAGUAUGUAAGGCAGAAUUAAAACCACUAAAUUGUAACACCAACAAAAUUAUAAAUGGGGUUAUUUUAUGAAAAUGAAAUUUUUUAGGAAAAGUGAAAAUAGUGAAAUCAGUAUAGAGCUAUUUUUUAGUUUGGUAUUUAACUGGCCGAACAAAGAUUUUUGAAUAAAGUGAAAUAAUUUUCUGAAAUAAAGUGAAAAAUAUCAAUGGUCAAAGGGCUCCUGGGACUAAUAAAAAUUCGAGGCUGGAAAAUAAAGUAGGAAAAAUUAACUAAAUAAACAUAUUAGAUUGUUUAUUACAAGUUGUAGCAAUUUUUUUUAGUUUUCAAGUUAUAGCAAUUUUUAUUUAAAAAAAAUUAAAAAAAAUUAUUUUAUAUAUUUUUCAUUUUUUUUUUAAAUAACAUAUCAAAAUCAUUACAGAAAAGGAAAAUAUAGAUUUAAUAUAAUUAAGAUGCAAUAUUCCUUCCUUAAAUAUAGAUAAAUUUAAAUAACAAUAUCCCUUCCUUAAAUAUAGUUAAUAGUAACUAUAGAUACCAAUCACACCACUAUUCUCUCUUUAACCAUUUUUCACACCACUAUUCUCUCUUUAAUCAUUUUUUCUCCAUUUCUAAAUAUUUCAAUUUUUUUUUACCUUCAUAUACAUUCGUUUUUUUUUUUUCUAUCAGAAAUUAUUAUUUCAAUAAAAAGCUUCCACAAGUUGUUGUUGUUUCAUGCAACGUUUGAAUAUUUUUAUUGAGAAGAAACGUUCAAUAGUCUGCAAAAAAAAAAAAAAAAUGAGACACACAAAUAUGAAUUGUGCUAAUUUGCACUCAAUCAUGAUAUAUCAUGGAGGAAGAUGGGAUGCCUCAGGUAUAUCUUGGUUAUUAACAUUGAUAUUUUACAUUAAUUCUUUUUCUUUUCUUUCUGAAAUAUAUAUAUCGUCUAAUUAUUGAUUAAGAAAAAGACAUUAAGAGAAAAAGUUAAUAUUAUUUUUUAUAUUUGUUUUUAAUUAUGUGAUGUUGACAUAUUGAUUAUUCACGAGAACGUGGUGAAAAGUCACAAAAAAAUAUUGUCCAAUCAACUUAUAGGGGUAUGAUUAUUGGUUGUCAAAUGUUUUCAUUCGGUUAUAUUACAUUCAGUGGCCCAUUAUGAUAUUAUAUUUAUUGUUUUAGUAAUUUUUUAAUUUUAUUGAUGUGUAUGUUUUGACAAUAUUAAAAUAUGUUGAAAUUAUCAAAUUUCAUAUGUUUAUCAUUUUUUUGAUGUGUAUGUUUUGUGAAUUUUAAAAUAUGAAUUUUUUAAUUAUAUAUAGUUAUCGAUUAUUGAGUAUUAGUUACUUAACAUAUUUGUAUAAUAUUUGCAGGAAGACCUAAAGAUUUUUCUAUAGAUGAAAUUAUGUAGGAAAAAUUAACUAAAUAAACUUAUUAGAUUGUUUAUUACAAGUUAUAGCAACUGUUUUUAAUUUUCAAGUUAUAGCAACUUGGGAAAAGGCUCAAAUAUGCCACUAAAUUAUCAGAAAUGACUCAUUUAUGCCAUCCGUUAAAAGUUGGGCUCAUUCAUGCCAUCGCCAUUACAAAACUGGCCCAUCAUGCCCACGUGGCAGCUUAUUGGAGGGCCACAUCAUUUUUUAAUUAUUUUUUUAAAUUUUUUUUCUAAACAAAAAAUAAUUUUUUUUGAUCCAUUAAAAAGAAUUCACGCAACUUUUUGAUCCAUUGAAAAUUAGUUUGAUCUACGCUUCUAAAAUUUUGAUUAAUUUUUCAUAAUAUAUUCUUAAAACAUUUUCGUUCGAUUCGUUUUUUUGUCAUUUUUGACAUAUUAAGAUUGUUUUCAUAUUUUAUCUUUAAUAUUAAUUAUUUUUUUCUUCAACUUAAUUUCAAAUACAAUAGUAAACAUCAUUUAAUAAAUAUAUUAUCAUAAAAUAACUAUUUUAAUUGACGGGCGAGUAACUAAAAGGGAACGGAGAGAGUAUACACUCCACGCUUUUUAUCACUUUAUUUUUUUUUUUUAAAAAAGAUUCACAUUAACUAAAGCUUUUGUCAUUUUUCAGUUGAAAUUGAAGGGAUAUAUAAACAUCAAAUAUUAUUAUUAUUAUAUUAUUAAUAGUUAGCUUCUCAUUUUNNNNNNNNNNNNNNNNNNNNNNNNNNNNNNNNNNNNNNNNNNNNNNNNNNNNNNNNNNNNNNNNNNNNNNNNNNNNNNNNNNNNNNNNNNNNNNNNNNNNNNNNNNNNNNNNNNNNNNNNNNNNNNNNNNNNNNNNNNNNNNNNNNNNNNNNNNNNNNNNNNNNNNNNNNNNNNNNNNNNNNNNNNNNNNNNNNNNNNNNNNNNNNNNNNNNNNNNNNNNNNNNNNNAAUAUUUCAUGUAUGCUAAGACAUACUAUAUGCUUAAUUAGAAUAGCGUUUGGUUAUAAAUUUUAGUAGUAGAUUUUAAAAAAAAAAUUCUUUAAAUAUUUGUUUGAUCAUGAAAAAUUAAUCAAAUUUUAAAAGUAUAGAUCAAAUUAAUUUUAAUGGAUCAAAAAAUUGGGUGAAUUUUUUUUAAUGGAUCAAAAAAAAUAUAAAAAGAAAAUUAUUUUUAAAAAAAAUGAUGUGGCCCUCUAAUAAGCUGCCACGUGGCAAGGCUGUUUUUUAAAAUCGGCUAUUAAAAAGUAAUGGUAUGGAUGAGCCAGUUUUGUAACAGCGAUGACAUAAAUGAGCCCAACUUUUAACGGAUGACAUAAAUGAUUCAUUUCUGAUAGUUCAGUGGCAUAUUUGAGCCUUUUUCCUAGCAACUUUCAUUUAAAAAAAAUAAAAAAAAUUAUUUUAUAUAUUUUUCGUUUUAAAAAAAAAUAUAUCAAAAUCAUUACAGAAAAGAAAAAUAUAGAUUUAAUAUAAUUAAAAUACAAUAUUCUUUUCUUAAAUAUAGAUAAACUUAAAUAACAAUAUCCCUUCCUUAAAUAUAGUUAAUUGUAAUUAAUAGAUACCAAUCACACCACUAUUCUCUCUUUAGUCAUUCUUUCUCCAUUUCUAAACAAUCCAAUUUUUUUUUCACCUUCAUAUACAUUCGGUUUUUUUUUCUAUCAGAAAUUAUUAUUUCAAUAAAAAGCUUCCACAAGUUGUUGUUUCAUACAACGUUUGAAUAUUUUUAUUGAGAAAAAACGUUCAAUAGUCUGCAAAAAAAAAAAAAUGAGACACACAAAUAUGAAUUGUGUUAAUUUGCACUCAAUCAUGAUAUAUCAUGAAGGAAGAUGGGAUGCCUCAGGUAUAUCUUGAUUAUUAACUUUGAUAUUUUACAUUAAUUCUUUUUCUUUUCUUUCUGAAAUAUAUAUAUAUAUUGUCUAAUUAUUGAUUAAGAAAAAAACAUUAAGAGAAAAAGUUAAUAUUAUUUUUUAUAUUUAUUUUUAAUUAUGUGAUAUUGACAUGUUGGUUAUUCACGAGAACGUGGUGGAAAGUCACAAAAAAUAUUGUUCAAUCAAUUUAUAGGUGUAUGAUUAUUGGUUGUCAAAUGUUUCCAUUCGGUUAUAUUACAUUCAGUGACCCAUUAUGAUAUUGUAUUUAUUGUUUUAGUAAUUUUUAAAUUUUUUAAUUUUAUUGAUGUGUAUGUUUUGACAAUAUUAAAAUAUGUUGAAAUUAUCAAAUUUCAUAUGUUUAUCAUUUUUUUAUUUUUUUGAUGUGUAUGUUUUUUGAAUUUUAAAAUAUGAAUUUUAAUUACAUAUCAUUAUCGAUUAUUGAGUAUUAGUUACUUAACAUAUCUAUAUAAUAUUUGCAGGUAGACCUAAAGAUUUUUCUAUAGAUGAAAUUAUGUAUGAUGCAAAUACCAAGUGUAAAGAAUUGCUAAAUGCAAUAGCAAAACAACUCAAGAUCGACAUCAACUCAAUUCAAAUUUGAGAUUAAGUUCUUGAUUGAUAGAUCCCCAUCAAUGAUCAUACACAAUGAUACAGGAGUCAUGAUGUAUCUGGAUAAAAAAAAAUUGUUAUCAAUAAUCAUACAUAAUGAUAAAGUCAUGUUAAACUUUUGUUAUGUUUCUGCAUGAUGUUUUCAGAUAUUAAAAUAUGUUUUUGUUGAUUUUAUAAAAACAAUAUCAUCUUUAGAUUCAAUAACAUAAAUUUUUGUUUCUGAAAUUGUAGACUCAAUAUGUUAUAUAUGUAUAUUGAAAAAUAUAAGUAGAUAACUGAUAAUAAAAUAUUAAAAUACAUAAUUUCAGAUAUCUGAUAUCAAUUUUAAGAUUUAAAGAAAAACNNNNNNNNNNNNNNNNNNNNNNNNNNNNNNNNNNNNNNNNNNNNNNNNNNNNNNNNNNNNNNNNNNNNNNNNNNNNNNNNNNNNNNNNNNNNNNNNNNNNNNNNNNNNNNNNNNNNNNNNNNNNNNNNNNNNNNNNNNNNNNNNNNNNNNNNNNNNNNNNNNNNNNNNNNNNNNNNNNNNNNNNNNNNNNNNNNNNNNNNNNNNNNNNNNNNNNNNNNNNNNNNNNNNNNNNNNNNNNNNNNNNNNNNNNNNNNNNNNNNNNNNNNNNNNNNNNNNNNNNNNNNNNNNNNNNNNNNNNNNNNNNNNNNNNNNNNNNNNNNNNNNNNNNNNNNNNNNNNNNNNNNNNNNNNNNNNNNNNNNNNNNNNNNNNNNNNNNNNNNNNNNNNNNNNNNNNNNNNNNNNNNNNNNNNNNNNNNNNNNNNNNNNNNNNNNNNNNNNNNNNNNNNNNNNNNNNNNNNNNNNNNNNNNNNNNNNNNNNNNNNNNNNNNNNNNNNNNNNNNNNNNNNNNNNNNNNNNNNNNNNNNNNNNNNNNNNNNNNNNNNNNNNNNNNNNNNNNNNNNNNNAUUGACUACUAAAGAUAAUAAAAAAAAUUAAAAAAAAAAUAAAAAAAAAGUCAAAUAUCAUGUAUAAAUGCAAAAAAAAUAUCUUUACUAUAUUUGAUUCCUUAAUUUGAGAACAAAUUAUGAAACUUAAUUAACAAAAUAAAAAAUAAGAUAUAAUGAUUGAUACCAACAAUAACACUUGCCAUAAUUAUCAAAAGAUUUAAUGAAGAGUGAUAACUAUUAAAGGUUAUAAAUAAGGAUAUAUUUGAAUAUUAAAUAUGAAAAAAAAACAUUAUUUAAUAUUUAAAAAAAUAAUUUAAAGAAGAUAAAUUAGUGGUUGAAACUAACUUUUAUCGGUAAAGUUGAUUUGGAAAUCCUGUAAACAUUGGCUUACCGAGUUAAUUAAUAAAGUUAACAAAAAGUCAAAUAUCAUGUAUAAAUGUAAAAAAAAUAUGUUUACCAUAUUUGAUUCCUUAAUUUGAGAACAAAUUAUGAAACUUAAUUAACAAAAUAACAAAAUGACAUAAUUGUUGAUACCAAUAAUCUUGUCAUAAUUAUCAAAAGAUUUAAUGAAGAGUGAUAACUAUUAAAGGCUAUAAAUAAGGAUAUAUUUGAAUAUUAAAUAUGAAAAAAAUAUUUUUUUAAUAUUUUAAAAAAUAAUUUUUUAUGAGUAAAAGAUCUUGUGUAAAUAAUAAUGAGUUUUAAAAGUUUAAUUGGAAGUUGGUAAAAGUAAAAGAACUUGGGUUUGAUUUCAGCUAAAAAUACCUCAUAAAACGUGAAUAUUUUUUGGAAUAAAGAUAAAACUAUGAAAUUAGUUCUUUUUUAAAUUUAUAAGAUGUUAAAAAAGGUAAAGAUAGAAGAAUUAUAUUGGUAAUUAAAGACAGUAAAACAUGAAAAAGUUUAGAAGCAAGUUAAUAAAAAGUAAAAAUCAGUUCUUAACUUUAAAAAAUAUAUUUACCAGAUAUGACUCCUUAAAUCGUGAAAAAACUUUAAUAAUUAAUUAUUAAAAUAAAAAAAAAUAUUGAUACCUUAACUUGAGUUAAUAAAAAGUAAAAAAUCAGUUCUUAACAUUAAAAAAUAUAUUUACCAUAUAUGACUCCUUAAAUUGUGAACAAAUUUUAAUAAUUAAUUAUUAAAAUAAAAAAAAUAUUGAUACCUUAACUUGCCAUAAUUAUCCAAAGCUUUAAUUAAGAGAGAUAAAUGUUAAGUAUAAGGAAAGAAUAUAAAUAAUAAAUAUUAAAAAGUUGAAUUUUGAAUAAUUAAUUAUUAUUUAUUUUUUUCAAAAGUUGCUAUAGCUUGUAAUUAUUUUCUUAGUCUAGUAAUUAUUAAAAAGUUAUGCUAUAACUUGCAAUAAACAAUCUAAUAAGUCUAUUUGGGAUAAUUUUCACAAUAAAGUAUCAGUACCCAAAUGUCUAUAAGGCUUUCAUAGCUUAAAGUUGGUCUAUAGUCAUUCAAAUAAUUCCAACAUUUUAUGUUCUAUUAUAUUUUGUGCAGUAAUCACUCUAACGAGGACAACAACUCGAUAACUCUUGCACCCAGGCCUAGUGGUCAUGGAGUAAGUUGAAAAUCAUUAGAUCUAAGGUUCAAAUCUCAAUAGUGUGGUUCGGAGCACAUUACGAGCCAAAAUUCUCAUGCCACGGCAGAGAUCCUCGGUCAAUAUUUCCAGAAUAGAUUCCCCAAUGGCAAAGGCAUCUGUCCAAACUUUGGUGGACAGAGUCACUCAGUACUUGUGUUGGCGGAAGAUAGCAAGUACCUCGUGGAAUUAGUCGAGAUGCUUACAAGCUGUCCGGUCCACCACUUUUACCAAACAAAAAAUAAAUAAAUAAACAACUAGGGUAAGUUUUGAGUCAUGAUUAGGCAUGUCUGUCUAAACCUAGUUCAAGAUGGCCAAUGUAUGUAAAAGACAAUAUACAACAAUGAUAUCUUCCCUUUACUGUCUUCAUGUAGGCCCAGUGAUGAAAGCACUGAAUUCAAUCUUGCAUCACAAAAUCAUUUCACUAAAGCUUUUUGGCUUUUCUAGUUUUCUAGAUGAACAUGACACUUCUAAUUCUGGAUUCAUGAAACUCCCAAAACAAAACAAGAAGUUACACAACUUCCUCAAAGAAAGAUAACUGACCUGGCAACUCUUUAUAGAUAGGCUUCAUUAGCUGGCUGCAUCAUGCAUGAGAUGAGUAUGAAACUCCCACUUCACUGCAGUGAUGAUUAUGCAAUGGGCAGGGUGAAGACUGUAUAUCAGCAAAAUAAGUCAGAUAUCUUGAUCAUGUUUGGGGCUAAAGUUAUGACACAAACUGUAUGUGCAAUUUAGAAGCUUCCACCAGAAUUGUAAUGAUGAUUGAUGGCUCUAUGAGCUCACCAGUAUCACAAGGGCUCGACUGUUCAACAGGAUAUAAGAAGCAGCAACAACAAAAACAUAUCUAGUGUAAUCCCACAAGUGGGGUUUUCGGAGGGUGGUGUUGAUGCAGCCUUACCCCUGCCUUGUGGAGAUAGAGAAGUUGUUUCUAAUAGAAACUCGACUCAAGUAACUCAUAUCGGAAAUCAAGUAUUAAAGCAAAUACAGUAGUGAAAACAGAAUAUAAGAAGCUGAAGACAGGAAUACCAUUACCGGAUGAUAAUAAAAUAAACAAAUAUUGAAAACCAAAGAGGAAACAAUAAAGUUUUUCCUAUUUUUAAUUUGGCUGUUCGACGACCAGGGAGGAGCCCUUAAGGAAACCAUUCCCUGUCU
This 48418-nucleotide long non-coding RNA is filed under the name Capsicum annuum. Its description in RNAcentral is "long non-coding RNA (CANN_LNC000255)". The record is from RNAcentral. Lineage: Eukaryota; Viridiplantae; Streptophyta; Magnoliopsida; Solanales; Solanaceae.